This 78972-nucleotide long non-coding RNA is filed under the name Ananas comosus (pineapple). Its description in RNAcentral is "long non-coding RNA (ACOM_LNC014176)". The record is from RNAcentral. Lineage: Eukaryota; Viridiplantae; Streptophyta; Magnoliopsida; Poales; Bromeliaceae.
AAUCAAAUAAGUUCCACUUUGCAAAUCUUGUGAAUGUUUGAAAUCGUGAAUAUUUGCUUGUUAGUGUGAAAUAAUAGUUGAUAUAUUUGUGCAUGGGUAAAUAGUUGCCAUCAUAAGUAUCACCUGAAUUAGCAUAUAUAUUGUGCAUUGUAUGGCAUACGCAUAGUUCUUUUAAUAUUGCCAGGUGAGACUGGGAUCAAAACUUUACCUUUAAAUAGUUCUUUCCUUAUUCCCUUAGAGUGAUCUAUUUUUUGUGAUCUAAUUGAUCAACAGCUGUUCAGUGCAAAAACAGGGAUUUCCAAGCUAGUUUUUAUUGAGAUAUAGAUACUACUAAAUUUCAAUCUUUCUUACAAUGCUGAUAUUGCCAAAUUAAUCAUGCCAUUAUUAAGAAUAUCAUGGGACUAUAAAUGUUUAAUGCUGAGUUUUAAUCUGAUGGACAUGACAUCUGGCUGCAACAUUUGUAAAGGUAUAGUAUCAUAAGAAAAUGUAGGAAACCAGACCACUUGGCCGCUUAUGUCCACUAUUAGUUUAGCCGCACGUAGGCCCAUCUACUCAUUUGGCUUAGCCUCUUGCUAUGCGUUGACGCAUUGCGUUACAGGGAAGAGUAAUGGAACAAAAGGAUUUGGAUAGGAGUGGUGGAGAAGAAAUGAUGGUUCUGAGAUUGACGGAAAAAUUGUGAAAAUAGAGAUGUAUAGUUCAAGAGGUUUUGGCAAGAGGUACCUAUUUCAAGAAGCAUGGAAUUUUUUCUUGUUGUUGAACUCAUGUUGGUAAAGCAGCUAAAUAUUUUAGGAUUUUGGCUCGUAGGAUCAUCUGCAUUUACUGUUUUACAGAGUUCGAUUGAAUCAUAAAUUUCAUGAUUAACCUUCUUUAAAUCUCAAAGAACAUAAACAACCAUCGGUACAAUGUAUAAAUUUUGAUCAUUUAUAGAGCUUCAGCAUUCUUAGUAAUGUGUAAGCUGUUUUUUCUUCUAAACGAAUACUGAACACAGAUGGAUAUACUGGGUGGCGGUGUAUCUCGUUUUCUGUAGUUUUUUCGCUUAAGAAAUUUGCAUAGGAAAUUUUAGCGCCAUAUGUGGAGACCUUUCUACUGCAUUCUCCAUUGUACUUGCUUUGUGUAUUUCGCUUAAUAGUUGCUUGAGCUACCAUGUUUUCUGAUGCUUUCACUUCUCUUCUGCAGGCGGCAGCCACAGCUAGCUCCUUACAAGCUAAAGUGCGAAAAAGAGCCACUUAAUAGCAGGUAAAGCAUAAAUUUCAAUAUAGUUUCAUUGAUUUGCAUAUAGCCAUAUACUGAGAGGAGAAUUGCUAAACUUCUGGUUGGAAAGCCUCCCGAUCUCUUUCAACAUACAUUAAGAAAUAUCUUCUUCUCCGUAGUCUUACAAAAAUUACAUAAUUUUGCAUUCUCAACUCUUAUAGCUCUGAAAUAGCAUAGAAAACUGUAACUAUAUCCCAUACAUUCAAAUAUGCUUCUGCUUGCUGCAUAGUAAAUCUACAGUCUCGUUUUCACAGAUAAAUAUAACUAUCGCAGAUAGUUUCUACAAUUUAUUUGUGUUAAUUUGUGAAUUUAGCCAUGCACUUUUUGUGAAGCUCUUUCCAUUUGUUUUCUAGACUUGGCCCACCUGACUUCUAUCCGCAAACUCCAACUUGUCCGGAAGAGACGCUAACUAGAGAAUACCUACAAUCAGGUUAUAAGGAGUCUGUUGAAGGAAUUGAGGUUUGUUUCUGAACUACCUUGAUUUUGUUUCUUAUCAUCACGCUUUUUCCUGCCAUAUGGUAUUUUCUUUUUCAUCUGUUUAUCGGCAAUGUAAUAUGUAUCUAGUAGUUUCAAACCAUACCUUUCUUAAUCAAUUAGUUGUCACUCACCAUUUUAGAGUCAACUGCAUCUUUCAGAACUCCCUCUUGGUGUCUAUUCUUCUCGCAUGUGGAUAUAGAUAUCACAAAGUGGAUGACAUACGUUGGUGCAGGAAUAAUGAAUUUCAGCUGUUAAUGAAGAUUUAUGAUCAGUUUCUUAGCUUCUUAGUAUAAAUUUUGAAUUACCUUAUCAAAACCAACUUUUCUCGAUGAGGUCGAUCAUUUGCCUUUAGUCAGAUAAAAUUAACUGAUCUUUUUGGCCCCAUUUUUUCUUUUCCUCCUCCUUCAAUUCUCGUUUUGUCUAGCUUGUGAUUUAUUUUAUAGUUGUUGUUUUUUUUUAUCUGUCUAACACCUUUUACUUUGGAUCUGACAGGAAGUCAGAGAGAUUAUAUUGAGUCAAGUUGGGUAUUUCAUCAAGCCUGAGGUCACAUUAAGAUGCAAAGAGGUAAUCAUGCCAUCAAAUAAUAAUAUGUGCUGGCAAUGCUGCCAACUUUAAUUACCAUUGGUUUCUUUUCUGAAUUUAUUUCUAUUGUACUUCUUUUUUUAAAGUUAAACAAUAUAAUCUCCUUCGCUUAUAGUUUACACAUCAGAGCACUAGAGUAGAGAAAAACAAAUGACUUUUUAGACUUUUAGUGUCAUUGUCCACUUCCCGUAAAAUUGCUAUGAAGAAAGUUCCUUGCUGCGAUUAUUUGUACAUGCUAUUUUAGGAUUUUGCAGUAUUGUUUUUUAAUAAGUGUUGAACUUUUAGUUGAUUAAACGAAAGUUCAGGAUUAUAUCAGAAAUUGUCAUACUUAGUUAAAUAUCUUCAUAAAAAAAAGUUAAAAAUAGCAUUAUUUACAGUAUGAAAUGCCAAUUAUGGAUGUACUUCAAAGACGAUGAAAAUGGUUUUGACUGGAUCAAAUAGGGAUUUCAAAUGGUGUUAAAAGGCUUUUCCCAGCACUUCUUGUCAUUAUUUGUAGUUCUAACUUGUUGCUUCAAUGGAUGAGGAGGUGUUUGAAUAUUAGGUAUUCUUACUCUGUUUGCAUAUAUUUUUUUCAGUAAACUACAAUUGGUGCGUCAACCAGUUAGGAGAAGUGUCAUUGAUUGAUUUGUAGGAAGUUGCCUCCUGAAUUGAUGCAAAAGCAGUUUUGAUGCAUAUGUUCCCAGUUGUACAAGGAAAUCUCGUGUUCAAUUAGCAUUAUACUUCUAAUUGAGUGGCUAAACGGUAGGCAGUGAUACUUGAGGAUUGAAAUGAAAGAGGAAAGAAGAAGAAAAAAUAUUAGGCAACAAGUACCUGGAAAGGGUAGGCGAGUGACUCUGACAUCUCUAGAGGACUUUAGAGAAGCUUGUUAGGGUUCCCUUCACUCGAUCAGUUGUCUGUUUUAAUGAUAUCACAUUCUAUGUGGGCUUGUAUAUAGGGCCUGAGCAUGGUCAUUGAGCUGUGCUGUUUCAUUGCCUGGUAUCGUGUUCUCCGAUAGUAUGUAUAAAUGAGGGCUAGGCAUUAGUAUUUGGGCCCGACUAUUAAUUUUAUUAUUAUGUCAUAGCAUAACAAUAGUUGAUUUGAUUGUAGAGAUGAUAUAUUUGAGCGAACAGUUUUUGACUAAAUCCCCUAGUACUAUAGAAGAAGCUCAUGCUUAGCAGCCAGAUACCAAACUCAAACUUAUGAUUCUUUAGUUUAAAGAGUGUUCUCCUUUAGUCAUCUUGUCUUUCAUUUGCAUUAUUCUACCUAAUUUCUCACUGCAGAUAUUUUGUUAGAACUUCACUCACUGUAAUACAUUGAAUAAUGUGGUAAUAUGGCUAAGAAAUUUUAGUAUCGCAAUGCUAUCUUGUUACUUCUCUUCACCUAUGCUAUAAUUUGGUCAAUGCUUAUUCACAAAGUCUUCUGAUCUCUGUGCACAUAAUUUCACUGCAACUAUUGUCCUUCCGAAUCUCAAUACAGAGGACUUCUAUUGAAACAGUUACUUUCUUGUUAACUUGCUCAGUCGAGUGUCUAUCCUGAUACAAGCAGCCUGUGAUUUACUUUUUAAGUUUUUCUCAACUGAUUCUUUUCCUGUUUUUAUGCUAAGGCUAUACGGAAACGCUUUAGGGCUAUCAACGAAUCACGUGCUCAGAAGAGGAAGGUAGAUACUUCGAUUGUUCUGUCCAGUCGACAAUUGAUCUACAAUGUUUUCAAUUUGUGUCAGCAAAUGUAGUGUGAACCUUUCGCAUAAUGCUGUUACUAAUCGUGACCUCUGGUAAUACAACAGGCUGGCCAGGUUUAUGGAGUACCUCUUUCUGGAUCAUUGCUGAUAAAGCCUGGUGUCUUCCCCGAGCAAAGACCAUGCGGUGAAGAUUUCCGCAGGAAAUGGAUUGAGGUUUAGAUUACGAAUGCCUUUGUUUCGUUUGGAUUCCUAAUUUUUUUUCUAAUCCUUCGUGUGGUGCACCAAAUUGUUUUUCCCCCCUCAAUUAUGUGAUUUUCACUAUACAGUAUGUGAAUAGAGGCUUAUGGUUGGGGAGUUGCCAUACUUUCCUCCAUCUUCUUUUUUUUUUUUCAUUUUCUUUUUUUGGUGUGUGCGCUGGGCACUUAUUCUUUUGUUUGUUUUGGAUCUUUUGUCGUCUGUGAAGCUUUAGAAUAACCAGCUAUUGAUAACUUGGCAGGCUUUAUCACAGCAGCAUAAACGGUUACGUUCGCUAUCUGAGCAUGUUCCUCAUGGUUACAGAAGGAAAUCACUCUUUGACGUUCUUAUUCGCCAUAAUGUUCCAUUGUUAAGAGCAACAUGGUUUAUCAAAGUUAGUUAUCUUAAUCAGGUAUGGACAUGCUUUCUACUUUAGAACAUACCCAUUUUGCAUUUGCUUUAACUAUCUUGGAUUUCCUUUAAUUUUAAGGAUUCGCAGCCUACUUUUUGUAUUAAAGUCUGUGUACAUCCAGGUACGGCCGGCUUCAACCAGUGUUUCAUCUGGGGCUCCAGAUAAGGCACAAGCAACUCGGACUGAGCAGUGGACUAAGGAUAUUACAGAUUACCUUCAACAGCUGCUGGAUGAGUUUUUAUCGAAAGAUGGCUCUGCCGUACCUUUAUCCGGUAGAGAUCAAUCGUCACCAGGUCUUAUGGGUCAACCUCCUUCAGCAAAACACAGAGCUGAAUCUUCUCCAGUUAUUUCAGAAGUAGAGGAUACUUCUUUUCUUUUCAGAUGGUGGUAUGUGGUGCGCCUUCUGCAAUGGCAUUUUGCAGAAGGAUUGGUUCUCCCCUCUCUUGUUAUUGAAUGGGUCUUUGCUCAGCUUCAGGUAAUUAUUCUUCCUCUGCAUGCAAAAAAAAUGGGAAGCCCUAAUAGAUGCUAGGGGUUCUGGCGAAAAGGAAAAAUCUCUAUUUUUUGGUCUUGCAACUUUGAUCCACUGCUUUUGUUUUUGCAAUUUUUAACUGAAAUCUUGCUUUAUGACUGAAAUACCCCCUUGUAUUCCCAAUAUUACAGAUUUCAUCAUGGGGCAUUUUCAUCUGCAAAAAUGAUGUUUUGGCUUUAAGUUGUGAAAAAAGGAAAUAGUUGAGCAAAGUUGCAAAAAUCAAAAAGCAAGUGUACUAAACGACCCAGUUCAGAUUCUAUAUUAUCUUGAAUUAUAUUUUGAUCCUUAGAUUUUACUGAUGCUUCUUACAACUGUGCCUUCAGGAGAAGGAUUCAGUUGACGCCUUAGAACUGCUUUUGCCUAUUGUACUAAGCAUGAUAGAGAGCAUUUCCCUCUCACAAACGUAUGCACGCACGUUUGUGGAAAUAACUAUUCGAAACCUCAGUGAUCUUUCUUCUGGCAAUUUGAGUUUAAUCAGUAGUUCAAAGAAGACGUCUGUAGCUUCCACUCUAGUGGAAAUGCUGCGGUACAUGAUACUUUCUGUGCCCGACACUUUUGUUUCAUUGGACUGCUUUCCUCUUCCAUCCCAUGUUGCCCCUGAUAUAUAUGGUAGAAGUAACAUAGAGGCUGUUCACUUUGAGACCCGUGAUGCUUAUGUUCGGUAUUUGUCCUGUGGACAUGCUGUUUCCUGUAUUCAAAGACGGGCUUCUAAUCUUGGAAAGAUUGUAAGCCCUAACCUUCAAGGUAGCAGUGCAGCUAAAGUUGUUCAAACUCUGGAUAAAGCUCUGACUAUGGGCAGCAUGACAUUGGCAUACAGUUCUCUUUUUGAAGAUUUAUCUGAUCCUGCCAUGGAAGAAAGAUGGAUUGCUGAAGUCAGCCCUUGUUUACGAGCUUCUUUAAUGUGGAUUGGGACCAUCGAGUUGUCCCUGAUUUGCUCGAUAUUUUUUCUUUGUGAAUGGGCUACAUGUGAUUAUCGAGAUACGCGCACCACCCCGUCGCAGAAUGUUAAAUUUACAGGAAGGAAAGAUUUUUCUCAAAUAUAUGUUGCAGUCUUGCUAUUAAAGAAUAAAGUGCAAGAGAUGCACAGCCAAUUGACUUCGAAGAAUAGUGCUCCAUUGGUAAUUCGUAACAGUGGGAGAAGUGCUUCUCUGAAUGACACUUCAUUGCAGGCAGCGGUGGUGGAAAAUCCUUCUUUUAUUAGAAGUUGUACAAAGAUCUUGGAUGAGAAAAGAAUUAAUAAAAAGGAUAUCUUCCAGAGCCCUGGUCCAUUUCACGAUAUCAUUGUUUGCUGGCUUGAUCAGCAUGAGAUUUGUGAUUCUGGAGGACUGAAGCGUGUUGAAGUUCUUAUUUUGGAGCUUAUUCGUAGUGGAAUCUUUCAUCCUCAAGUGUAUGUCAGGCAGCUUAUAGUUAGUGGAAUUAUGGAUAGAAACGAUACUCAACUUGAUCUGGAAAGAAAGAGAAGACAUCACAAAAUCUUGAAGCAACUUCCAGCUUCUUGCUUAUUUGAUAUACUAGAAGAAGCUAGAAUAGCUGAAGCUCAACUUCUACAUGAGGUUGUUGCAGUCUACUCUACUGAGCGGAGACUUGUGCUUCGCGAACUUUCCGAUGGUCAGUCCAAUUAUGUGAGUAAUAGAAGUGAGAGGAACUCUUCUGGUCAAAAGCAAAAUGAUCAUCAAGCUGGUACUAGGGAUGUUAAGCAUGGCAGGACAAAGGAACAAGUUGCACAAGUGAAAACUUUGAUUUCAAAUUUACUGAGAUUUCCAUAUUCUUCUUCCUUGCCAAUUGAAGCACGGUCAGAUGAAUCCAAGGGGAGCGUCAAGCGGCCAAUAAACUCAUCAGAUAUAAAAGUCGAUUUUGCAGAAGGGAGACCUGGAUGUGAGGAAUGUAAAGGUUCAAAGAGGCAAAAGUUAGAUGAAAGAAGUUCUUUCCAAGGAAUACUGUUGAAUCAGUCAGAUGAUGAGGAUAGUUGGUGGGUAAGGAAGGGGCCCAAGUUCCCAGAGUCAUUUAAGGUAGAGCCACCGCAGAAAACAACUAAACAAUCCUCAAGAGGCAGGCAAAAAAUUGUGCGGAAAACCCAAAGUCUGGCACAGUUGGCAGCUGCUCGGAUUGAAAGUAGUCAAGGGGCAUCUACUAGUCAUGUAUGCGAUAAUAAAGUGAGCUGUCCCCACCAUAAAUCUGUUGGUGAAGGUGAAAUUUCCAAAGAUUUUGAACGGGGGAAAGUACAAAGUCCAGUUGAUGUUGGAAAAGCUAUAAAACGGCUUAGGAUGGUUGAGAAGAGGUCUGUCGCACUUUGGUUGCUGAAAUCAGUACGGCAACUUGUUGAAGGAAAUGAGAAGGCAGCUUCAAAAGCUAGUGUUACGAGUGUCUUUUCUGCGUCAACUGAUGAUAGGAAUGCUGUAAGAUGGCGCCUAGGAGAAGAUGAACUGUUGUCAGUUCUCUAUAUUUUUGACAUAUGUUGUGACUUUGUCUCUGCAGUCAGGUUUCUCAUAUGGUUGUUAGCUAAGACCCUUAGUGGAGUAAGCAAUCCUACUCAAGUUGGGAGAAAUAUUAUGCUGCCCAAGAAUAGAGAAAGCCUGAUUUGCCAUGUUGGGGAAGCAUUUCUUCUGUCAUCCCUUCAAAGGUAUGCUGGACUUUCUUUUGUUUGAUGGACAGCUGAGAAAAAUCUCACAAUGCUCCUUCCUGAUCGGCUUUUGUGUAGAUGUAAUCAUUUUUUCAUCAUUUCUUGCUGCUGCAGUUUUUAUAUCUUGUAGUGUUAGUUAAUCAGCACACAUAUACUUUAUCCUCUCUUUUCUUUUAAUUUUUUUGUGGGCUUGCGAAAGGUUUGUCACUUUCUUUUAAUGUUUUUGUGGGCUUGCGGAAGGUUUCUUUUAAUAUUUUAUCCUCUCUUUUCUUUCUAUUUUAAUUAAAAAUGCCUUUCUAUUUUAUGUUUUAGGAUGCAGCUUUUGGUUUUUUGUUGUAAACCACGUUGUUAUUAUGACGUCUAGAUUGAACAUUGUGUUUCUGGUUACCAGUUUGAUAACGUUAUUGAUAUAAAUGAUUGCUUUGUUUGAUAACGUUAUUGAUAUUAAUGAUUGCUUUGUUUGUAUUAUUAAAAUGUCUAGUCUGUAUAUUUUGGUCUUCAUCUUAUACUAAUAUUAGUUUACUACCUGGUAUCUAAUAUUUCCAAUAAUGCAGGUAUGAGAAUGUGCUUGUCGCUACAGAUCUUUUGCCUGAAGCUCUUACUGCCAUAAUGCCCAAAAGCACCAACAUGAUAGUUGGAAGGGUUUACGGUUCAGUGGCUUUUUCUUAUGGUCGAAACUUGUUGAAGAAAUACAAAGAUUUAGUCAGUGUGGUAAGGUGGGAAAAGAACUAUAGAGCUUCAGGUGAUCAGAAACUGCUUGCUGAACUUGAUGCCGGUCGAUCAGUUGAUGGUGAUUCAGUAUUUAGUUCUGGAGCCUCAGCAGGAGGAGAAGAAAUCGACGAGCAUAUACGUCAGAAAUUAAGUGGGAGAAUGCCAAGAACAGUUACAAACAUGAAAGAGAUAGUACAGCGACAUGUUGAGGAAGCUUUACACCAUUUUUAUGGGAAAGAAAGGAAAAAUAUAGCUACUGCUCCCAGGACCCCCCCGGAGAAAUGGGAAGAUAGUUACCAAAUAGCCCAUGAUAUUGUUAUGGGUUUACUUGACUGUAUCAGGCAGAAUGCUGGUGCAACUCCAGAUGGCGAUCCCUCAGUGGUGGCAUCUGCUGUUGCUGCCAUUGUUGGCAAUGUUGGUCUUGCUGUUGCAAAACUUCCAGAUUUCUCAUGCAGUAACUACCAAAAUCUUCCUUCCUCUAUCAAAAAUUCAUUAAAUUGUGCUCGCCACAUCUUAAGUAUCCACAUAGUCUCUCUUUGCCUUCUCAAGGAAGCUCUUGGAGAACGCUAUAGUCGAAUAAUCGAGAUUGCUUUGGCUGUUGAAGCUUCUUCAGCUGUUUCAGUAGCUUUUGCUCCUCCAAGGGGACAUCGCAGUCAAUUUCAAGUGUCCCCUGAGGCUCAUGAUAUAUAUGGGAACCAUUCAAGUGAGGUUUUGAAUAACUCGCAAAAGGGCUUUGGUGGAAGGGCUACAAAAGCUGCAGCAGCUGUGUCUGCACUUGUUGUGGGGGCUCUCAUUCAUGGGAUCAUUAGCCUGGAAAGGAUGAUUGUAGUUUUCAAGCUAAAGGAGGGCUUGGAUAUUUUGCAAUUUAUGAGGAAUGCUAGGUCCAGUUCUAAUGGUAUGUCUCGUUCUGUGGGCACUUUUAAGCCAGAAAAUUGCAUAGAAUUAUAUGUACAUUGGUUUAGGCUCCUAGUUGGGAAUUGCAGAACAGUACUUGAUGGAUUAGUUGGAGAGAUUCUGGGUGAAUCCUAUAUCCUUGCUCUUUCAAGAAUUCAGCGCAUGCUUCCACUGAGUUUGGUUUUCCCUCCUGCUUAUGCUAUAUUUGGAAUGGUCAUAUGGAGACCAUAUAUUCUUAAUAGCAAUGUUAUAAUGCGUGAAGAUAUCCCGGUUUAUCAGUAUCUAUCAUUGGCCAUUGGUGAAGCCAUUAGGCAUCAGCCUUUUCGCGAUGUCUGUUUUCGAAAUUCUUAUACCUUUUAUGACCUCCUAGCUAAUGACAUUGGUGAUUCUGAGUUUGCUGCGAUGCUUGAAUUGCAGAGUCCUGAUAAACAUUUGAAAACAAUGGCAUUUAUUCCUCUUCGUGCGAGGCUGUUUCUAAAUGCUCUCAUUGAUUGCAAAAUGCCGGCAUCCACAAUUAUGAAGGAAGAUGGGUCUUGGGUUUCAGAAUCUGGUGAGCUGAGAUCAAACACCGAAAGUGAGGCAAAGCUUUUGGAGCGACUUCUGCAAAUUUUGGAUACCUUGCAACCUGCAAAGUUUCAUUGGCAAUGGGUGGAAUUAAGACUUCUUUUGAAUGAACAAGCUCUUGUUGAAAAAAUAGAGACCCAGAACAUGUCAUUCGUAGAUGCAAUUAGAUCCCUAUCACCUAAUGCUGAAAAUUUUGCACUUACUGAAAGUGAAAAACGGUUCACUGAAAUUGUUCUGUCCAGAAUACUUGUUAGACCUGAUGCUGCGCCUCUUUACUCAGAAGUUGUUCACCUUAUUGGGAAGCUGCUUCAGGAGUCUCUGGUGAUGGAUACCAAAUGGUUUUUAGCUGGACAUGAUGUUCUUCUGGGUCGUAAAUCCAUUAGGCAGCAACUUCUAUUCGUAGCUCAAAGGAAGGGACUUCCUACAAAAGCUCAGUUUUGGAAACCAUGGGGUUGGUCUUCAUUGGGAGAAGCUGUAGCUAAUAGAGGUGAGAAGAGAAAGUUGGAAGCUAUCGCUAUUGAGGAAGGAGAAGUUGUGGAUGAAUGCAUCGAUCAUAAAAAGUUGGGCAAAAUGAACUCUCAAACGGUGGAUUCUGAAGGAGUCGGUUCUAUUUACCAGCAUAUAACUGAGAAAGCUUUUGCAGAACUAAUAUUGCCAUGUAUAGACAGGAGUUCUAGUGAACUGCGCAAUUUGUUUGCCACUGAGUUGAUCAAGCAGAUGGGCGUAAUCGAGCAACACAUUAGUACAAUAACCCGUAAUGGUAUGAAACAGGCUGGUGUGGCUUCUGUAGGAGUUGAAGGAACUUCUAACAAAGCCAAUAGUCGAAAAGGAAUGCGAGGUGGUGGAAGCCCUGUUUUAGGCCGGCGACCUACAGCAGUUAGUGAUUCUGUGCCGCCUUCUGCAGUGGCAUUAAGAGCAUCUCUCUCAUUGCGCUUGCAAUUUCUUAUAAGGUUGCUUCCAGUUAUUUUUGCAGACAGGUAAAUACUAAAAUCGUUAAAUUUUUUAGUAUCUUUUCAAGUAGGCUAAACCCUCCAUUUAACUACUACAAGUUGCACAACAUCCCCCUUGUUGACCAAAUACUACAGAAAAGCCCCUUCAUCUUUUUACCAUCAUCUCUUAACCCCCUUUCUUCACUCUUCCAUUAGUAAACUGUUUCUAAAUAUGAUAAAAUAAUUAUUUAAAUUCUGGAAUACCAAAGUGGCCCUUCUUAUUUCCUAAUCCUUCUUUCCCCUUUUCUUCUAUCUUCUCUUAUUUAUCUCAUUUAAUUUAUACCGGAUAUAGUCAUGUUCUACUAUUCAACAAGUGGCUGUUACUUUGGAAUGAAUAAAUAAAUACAAGAUUCUGCAUGCAUUCUACAUAUACGGUUGCUGAUCUGCUGUGUUCUGGUUGUUUUGAGCACUGACCAAUAAUAUCCUUCUGAACUGAACAUAACGACUUCGUUUUGAUGCUGCAGUUUAUGUUUGACAUUGUAAUUAGCUAGGUGGUAGCUGUGUUUAUACUUGUCACUUUUUUUUUGCAAGUCAAAUUACUGGAUUGGGUUCAGUUAAUUUGUCAGUUAAAGGUGUCUUAUCCCAAAAUGAGCUAUUAGCUUAUUGUCAUUUUCCUGAAUUUCUUGCUCUGUUACAUCACAGGGAACCAUCGGCACGGAACAUGAGGCAAGCGCUUGCCUCUAUCAUACUUCGUUUGCUUGGUUCUCGAGUUGUAUAUGAGGAUGCAGACCUCUCUCUUCCUCCUCCCAACCCAAGUGCAUUAAAAUGGGAUGCAGAGUCCUCCAUGGAUGCUUGUGUUACCUCUUUGUUUGAUCGUCCUGGCGAAAGCCUCUUCGAGAGGCUCUUGUCCAUCUUCCAUGCUUUGCUCAGUAGCUGCAAACCAAGCUGGCUGAAGCCCAAGUCUGCCCCCAAGUCAACCGUUAAAUCUCCCCGAGAUUUUCCUGCGUUUGAUCGUGAGGCAGCAGAGAGCAUACAGGUUAGUUCAAGUUGCAUGUGUUUUAUUUCCUAAAAUAAACAGGUACUAUUUUAAAAAUUUUUACUGUGGAAGCAUAGAAAUUUCUCAGCUUAAGUUGUUAGGAAGUGUGAGACAACCUACUAAGCUGAGUUGUUUCAUCUUAUUUAAGUCUUCAGUUAUUAGCUUGUCUCCUUUCUAUAUCGUCUUUCUUUUGUAGUCAAGCAUUCGAGUUAGCUCUUGAUUAUUAUGGGAAAGCAAUUCUCUGCAAAAAAAUGCAGACUAACUUGACUGUCGCAGUUUUUCUUGCCUAUUGUCAGAUCUUAUCGACCUAUAGUGUCAGGUGAUGUCUGUCAUCAGUUUGGUGUGAAUCUGCCUACAUGAGAUUUCUCCUCAUUUUGGGGUUGCUUGUUGUCGGCAAUUGAUAAUAAUUCACUAGUACUCGGACUGAGGUCUGAUUGUUACUUUGUGGCUGGGCAUCUGCGAAUUCACCAUUAUCUUCGACAAGAUUGUGUUCUUUAUGUUCCUUAAUGUGCUUUUUUGGUCUCUAUUUUAGUUAAAAAAAAUUGUUAUCUCUUAAAUUAAAUAAUCAGAUACCCUGUUCUUGUAAUAUGUGUGUUGUAUUCCAGCAUCAUCUUGCUACUUUCUGUUUUAUAUAUUGCUUUCAAGUUUCCAGCAUAUCCAGUACUCUUUCAGUUCAUCAGUUUUCUUUCAUAUUGACACCAUGGCUUCAUAGAUGCUGCAGUCUGACUUGGACCGCAUGGAGUUGCCACUGACAAUCAAACGGCGUAUCCAAUCCGCGAUGCCAUUCCUCCCACCUUCUCUUCCUUCGUCUAUUCCAUGCCACCCUCCUAUACUGCCCCCAUCAGCACUCUCACCGCUUCAGUCGACUAUGCUCGCUCCAGCGCCGCAACAAAGAACUGCGCAGGCGUCGCGGGUUCCAACCAACCUAUCGGGCCGAAGCAAGGCAUUGCCAUCCCUGGACCCAGACAUGGAAAUCGACCCGUGGACGCUGCUCGAAGACGGUACAGUUUCUGCUUCUACCUCUAGCAGUGGUGGUAACGGCAGCAUGGGGGGUGUCAGUGUGGAUCAUGCCAAUUUCAAAGCUUGUAGCUGGCUUAAGGGAGCCAUUAGGGUUAGAAGAACCGAUCUUACUUACACGGGAGCUCUCGAUGAUGAUAGCUGACCUUUGUACAUUCAUUUUGUUCAACAGAAGACAAGCGGCAAACUCAUUGAAUGGGCUUCUGUCAAAUGAGAGGCAUUUUUCGUCUCUUAUUGUGAUACAUGAGGGGGUUUUGUAUCGAGAAAAGGGUGCUGAGUUGGAUAAAACUAGCACCCUCGUGAAAACCCCCUUAUUUUGCCGCCAUGACCUACAUAAGCGCUGUUGUAUAUAGAAAACAUUUUUAUUGAUUCCUCGAUCGAGAUGAGUCGAGUUUCGGUGCGAGGAAUGGUUUGCAGCUCGGUAAGUUCCGGUCUUUUCAUCAGGAUGUACUACUAAAGGGAAGGAAAAUCUCCACGACUCUGAUGGGAAACAUAUGUUGCAUCAGCAAGAACAAUUCCGAAAAUGAUUUAAAUGAGUUUAGGGACUGACAAAAUUGUUGCUUCUCAAAGUGUAUUCUACAGUUUGCUGCUUACAGCUGCUCUUUGGCUCUCAUUUUGCCUCUUCUUACUCGAUUCGCUUGAGCUGCCACUAAGCUUCGCAUGCUGUUUCUAUAUUAUUUUCAAAUCCUUUAAAAGGUCAUUCCUUUUAGUGUUUAAUUCUUGCGCGAUUUUUUAUUGCCGCUGCUGCUUUCUCCUUUUUCUUUUUUUUCUAUUUUUCAUAACUGCAGAACUUAAUGUUUGAUAUAAUUUUAGUUGUCAACGUGUGUUACUUUCUUUUUGGUCCACAGACUUUCUUUAAUUUAUACGUAUAUGCUUCGGUGCUUCUAUUCUCUCUUGAGCUUAUUUUGAACCAUUUCUCAUCCGGCUUAUGUUUAUCAGGCUAUUUAUUUUUAUCAUUCUUUUCUAAUAUUCAUUUGAGUUUGUUACCGAACUAGCCAUUUUUUCUUUGAUGCAAUUGGGUAUUUAACUCAAGUUCCUUUUUUUUAUAUAUAAUGUGAAAUUUCUUUCUUUUUUUUUUUGUCUGCUCUCCUUGUAACUUCACCAAUUUUCAGAAGCACUUUUACCUUAUAUAUAGUAACAUUGCUGGAGCUCAGUGUAAGCUUUAAUUGACAAGUGGGAUCUUGCCUUUUCUUUUUGCAAUAGGUAGGGGAAAAAGGGUGGUUGUAUUUCGAUGGAAUAAAAAAAAAAAAAAAGAAGAAACAUUACAAACUGCGUUCAACUGGGUUGCUUUAACCUGAUACUCACUAAGCUAUUUUGCAAGUCUAGCACUAGCUUCUGUGAUUGUUUUAGUGCCUAUUUUUUUGGCAGUUCUAGGUUAGCCAUGAAGCUCAAGUGAAAUAAACAUUGUUUCUGAGAGCUAAUGAUAUCAUUGAUACAAAAUGUACAGUGAUUUCCUAGGUCAACAAAAUGUUCUCAUUCCUAUUGUUAGUUCACUCUGCGGCAGCUUCUGGUAAAGGAAGCUGGAGAAAAGCUAUCUGGGAACCUAGUAGUGUCCUCAGGGUUCACUUGUAUUUAUCCGUUUCUAGCGGAUUUAUCGGCGAAAAGAACAUCGUCGAUCCAUGAAACAAUGUUGAAUGCCAAACUCUCCAGCACCCUCGAAUAGCUCUCCAGGAUUGCUUGUCCAACAUCCUGCAAGAGAAUGAUUUAUAUCAUCGUAAAGUACGAAACUUACGCAAUGAUGGUCAGAUAAAAAACCACUCGUAAAUAGGCUAAUAUCGCAAAAGUGAAUGUCAUAGUAUCUACGGAGGCAUUUUCCUGCAAUUCAGCUUUAUAGAGCUGUUUCAUUCAGUGCUGCAAUUAUCUCAUUAUAUUUUGCGCCCUUAUUACAUGCUUACCUUAUUGUACUGGAUUUUGCUUGUAUCUAAGGUGGUCUGCGACAGGCCGGGAAAUCUCUGCUUCAAGCACAGCAAGAGACUCUCGGCUCUGCUCGCCAGCACUACGUUCUUAUCACCGUCGACCACCAGUUCCUUCACCACAUUCCACGAGGACUUUGAAUGGGCCAUGCUCGCUUUGCGGCGCCAAACAUGCAUUGCGGCCUCCACACGGUCGGCCAUCUCAAGUGCUUGGUGCUCCGACGAUAUGUCGAGGCAGUCGAGAAGGUAAUCCGGCGAGAACCGGUCCAGAGUCGACAUGUAGCGAUAUAUUGAGUCUCCUACGCUUAACCGGCCGCUCUGAACAGUGAAAGAAAGCAGAUCUUUCAGACCAGGAGCAAGCAUAGAAACUGUUAUGUUUGAUCAUUAACUCUGACCUUCCUUGCUACAACUACAGAUAUAUGAUUUUGCAAGGACUUAACAGCAGAACACUAUAAUAAUACCGAGUCGAUUCCUAGUGUUCGGAAUCAUAUGGUGGUAGAAUUGCCUCACCUUUGGAAGUGGUGCUAGAUAUGAUUCUGGGACCUCCAUUUCAGCAAGGACGGUGCUGUUUAUCGCCACCGCCGCUUUAUGGAUCUGAUUCGCGCAAUCCCGCCUCUUUUGCAGCUCUUUCCUCCCCUUCUCUUGGAGGCCAGAAUCAGGAACACACGGCACGGGGAGCCACCACUUCUCUUCGUUCCGGUGGCUUAGUUUCCGGAACGACUGCGAGGCGGAGUUAAAUGAUUGCUUUCCUUCAUCAACAUACCAGAACUCCGGUUUCCUGAAACUGUCCAGUAUAUCCUGCAGCAAUUUCGGUUCUGAAUCACUAACUAUGUUUGGCUAAUUUGCAAUUUUAAUCGCCUCGAUGAUCAAAACCUAUACAUAAUCUUCCAGAUUUGCAGCCCCUUUCUUAGGGGGAGGGGGGAUAAAGUGCAGAAAUUUCUAAUAAAUCAAGAGGUGGUUUUCAAAAGCUUUGAUCUUCGAGUUCUUGAAACAUAUGCAGACUUACAAUCAGCAUUGCAUCUAGCUUUUCCAGCGCGGGCAGAUUUACGUAAAUAUCCGAUCUUGGUCUUGUCGUCAUCACCUGAAAUACAAAGUAGAGAAGGUAUUUAGGGGGUGGAGACAAGGAAAUUUAGUCAACAAUGAAAUUGCCUAACAAGUAAUUAGUAGAAACUAUGGUCUCCUAAUUGUUGUUCCUCACCUCUACAGUAGAUCCAUCGGGCAAUUUUUGCGAAGAGGGGUAGAAUUCGACUAUGUAGUCGCAAACUGAGAGGAGGCAAUCCAUCUCUCUCCUCCACAUCGACUUCUUCUCUCGCGAAAGAGGUCCCAAUUUGCGGCAAGUCCCGAACACCGUCGCUGAAUUUAAACAGAAAAAGAAGAUCAGAAAAGAAGUGAGGUUAAGAUACUGAUCAGCUUAAAUCAAAGAUCAGUAAGUCACUAUAUAUGAUCUUCUUUUUUUUUUUCUUUCUUUUUGUGUGUGUGUGUGUUGAAAAUUUGCAUGCAAGAGUUUUGUCGAACUCGUGGAUUUGGUAUAAAAAGAGAUUUUAAUGUUGAAUUCUUUACCAUAGAGGUUUGUGAUGGCAUUUGAGAUGGCCACAGCAGUGCAGACACCCUUGCCAGUCCCUGACAUGUCUUCUCCCAGCAAAAGCUUUGAGAAUUUCUCCCUUAUGAGUUCCAACUCUGCCAAUUUGCCGAUCAUCAGAAUAAGCGCCAAUUUCGAUUCUUAAAGCUAUGAAAAACGGCGGAACAAGCGUAAUAUUGGCCAUACCAUCUUCAGUCGGUCUUCGUUUCAGCACGUCAGCUCGCUGCUUCAUGCUAAGCCUGCUCAGAACAGGCAAAGGCCGGUCGACCAGUUUGGCGAUCGGCCAUCCUCUGCUGCGCAUUUCGAAGGGGCCACUGUGCUCUUCGCUGCGCUCGGAGAAGGAUGAGACGUCGGAGAUUGUGCGGCUGUAGUCGAUCGAAUCGACACCCAGGGUGGAGCACCCAGUCUCUUCCGAAUUCUCGUCGCAGACUGACGAGCUUUCCAUUUUUUGUUUUUCUUUCUUUCUUCUUCACUUAAACCUGCAGAAGAUUCAUACAAAGUUUGAAUGAUGAAUGACAAAAAAUAUCAUGUGGUCUUUGCAUUUUUCACACAAGUUGAUUACUUGAUCCUAAUAGGAAUCAUGAAACAUGUUACCUAAAAGAGUAUAUCAACAUGUCCUUCAAAGCUCAUGUGAUUUCUCUUCUGAUUAAGUUGUUGAGCAUCUGAUGGUGUGCAAUGUGAAAUAGGCUAACAAAUUUGUAGUCUACAAAGUUGAUCUUAUAUAGAUAAAAAAAAAAAUCUAUUCCUUAAGAUAAGGUAUAAUUUUAGACACACUUUGAGCCACUUCAAAUUUUAUAAACAACAUGUGGUGGAGAAAUUCAUUUACUUUAUACUUUUUUUUUGUCACUUGCUAUAGCAUGCUCUACAUUUCUUUAGAUGCAGAUACAAAAAGUUGAAUAAUAACUGCUGCUGCUGCUGCUGCUGCUUUUUGCAGAAAAAAGGCAUCAUUUUUUUUUUAUUUUCCCAAUGCAUUGAAAGAAGAAGCAAGCAUGGCAUUCAAAUGAACUCACCUUUAUGUGAUUACUUUGUAUUCUUCUCCCCCUCCCCCUUAAGCUUUGCAAUCAUCUUCUUUCUCUCUCUCUCUCUCUCUAGAAAAAUAUGAAAUGGGUCUCUUUUUGAACAAGAGAAGAGUUGCUAAACUAAGAACCUCUUAUGCAAAAGCACUAAUUAGGAAUGAACCCCCCCAAAAAAACAGAAAAAAAAUAAAAAUGAAAAGAAAGGUGUGUAUAUAUUUCACCCUUGAAGAGCUCUAAGGACACCUCACUAAUAUCAUUUUUAAUAGAAUGGGAAGAAUGUUACAAUUUUUUCUUUGAUGAUAGUGGAAUGGUUAGGGGUUUUGGACCAACAGGAUGAAAGGCUUAGAUGUACAAAGUGUUCUAUAUGAUGAUGAGAAGGCAUUUAUUGCUUAGAAGAGAGAGAGAGAGAGUCAUAGAGGCUUCAUUUAUUUAUUAAUUAAUUAAGACAAAAUGUAUGGCCCCCUAAAUUUUUUUAGUUAAAUUGAGAAUUUUAUUAAAUUUAUCGAUAAUUCUGUCAAAUUUAAUGACUUUAUUUAAGCUAAAAAACUCAAAUAACAAAAUUAGAAAUUGAGAACAAAAUCAAUCAACGAAAAUAAAGUCGAGGGGCUUGUUUCAGAAUAGUCUAUUGUUGCGCGUCCUUUACCUUAAUUUAAAAAUGCAUCGUUCACCUUUUUUUAGCCCGGGAUAAAGUUGCUUAACAAAUACGUUAAAUCAUGUACUGUACUAUUGCAUAAUAAUAUCGACACUUUAGCUGAUGAGCUUGAAAAAUGCUAUUAUCUAUUCUUAUCGAGGGCACAUAGUGAUCAUAUUUGAUGAAUCUAUUUAUUUAUAGCAUCACACCUUGAUAUAAAUGAUGUUUUACCUAAGUCAUUUGAUAAUUAAACACUUAUAAUUUUUUUAAAAAAAAUCUUUCUUGGGGCUAAAUUGAAAUUUUUUACUAACAAACAAGAUCAUGUCCUAAUAACCAAUAUAAAAUUAGUGUGCUUUUCUUUUUUCUUUCUUUUUUUUUUUUUUGGAGAGGAAGCAAAAUUAGUGUACUAUACAUGCACAACAGUUUUAGGUUGUCACAAUAUGUACCUCUUUUAGGGUCCAACCAUUUAUUAUUUUAUGGAGAAACUUUAGCUGAGGAGUUGUGAGCACAUUGUGGUUCCCAUGAUCUCUUAGCUCUAAUAUUUCUUUUUGUGGAAACAUGAGUUGGUAUAGAGUUAUGGGCACGUAAUGGCAAUGUAAGGACAAUGUGGAAACUCAACCACACACAUGAUGUUAUUGAAAAAUAAAUAAAUAAAUAAAUAAAUAAAUAAUAGGAUAAAAUAUCCUCACGUGGUUUCACACUUUCUCACUUUAGUACCCUAUAGUUUAAAAUAUAUCAAGUUAGCCUCUGUGUUUUCGCACUUUCUCACUUUAGUACCCUAUGGUUUAAAGUGUAUCAACUAUCAAGUUAGUAUCAUGUGGUUUUAUUUUCCUCUUUUUAUUGUCAAUUUUACUAAUUUUUUUCGUUAAAUCAGUGACAAAGUUAAAAUUAAAGGGCACUAAAGUGAAUAUUCGAUAAACCUAAAUAAGGUAUCUGAAGUUUUUUGUAUAUAACUUAACGAAAUAAUGGAGGAAAAAAAAAUUAGUGACAAAGUUAAAACUAAAGAGUAUUAAAGUAAAUAUUCGAUAAACCUGUGUAGGGUAUCUGAAGUUUUUUGUAUAUAAUUUAACGAAAUAUUAACAGGGGAGCCGACGAAAAGAACAAAAUGAAACCACAGGGUACUAAAUUGAUGCACUUUAAACCAGAGGGUACUAAAGUGAGAAAGUGUAAAACCACAUGGUACUAAAUUGAUACACUUUAAACCACAUGGUGCUAAAGUUAAAAAAGUGCGAAACCACAGAGGUGAUUUGAAGUUUUCUCUAAAUAAUAAUAUGGAGACCUUCUUUAAUAUCGAAAUAGAACAUUCUGAAAUAGCUCACUCAAUAUAUACUAAUUUUUAUGGGGGCUUCCUUAAAUUUUGCAACAAAAAGUUUAACUUAAUUAACUACAAAAGCUCAAUUUUAAAAAAAUUUUUUAAAAGUUGAAGGAGUAGCUAGCUUCUAUAUAAUUAAUACGUGACCAAUCUUAUAUUCUUUAGGGUAGAAAUUAUCUUUAAUAUUGGUGCAGGUGGGAACCAUAAAUAUGUAAUUAAUUACAUCCAAUCAAAAAGAAACUUUGACCAAACUAUGCUUCAGACCUUCUAUUUUAUUUAUUUUAUUGUUUUAUUAUUUUUUACAGAAACAGUUAUUUUAGAGCUUUUAUGAGCAGAGAUUGUAUUACUUAAAUCAAAUUGAUUGAUAUGCAUCAAUUCAAAUCGAUUUAAAGCGAAUUCAACCAAAUCUAAAUUGACCAAAAUCGAAAGUGGCUCAAACCAAUUAAACUGAACUUGAACUGGAUCAAACCCACCGAAUUACGAUCGACAAAUCCAUUGAAUAUCUGGAGAAAGAUCAUGAAGGUUUCCAAAUGUACAAAGUUUGGUGCUCAAAUACGAAAAUUAUACAAGGGAACAUAAGUGCAUUAUGGAUAUCUAUAAACCGUUAUGUGAUCAAGUUUUUUAUUUUUUUUUUUCUAGUUUGAAAUGAGUUGACAAUUUUUUUUUUUUUUUGAAAACUAAAGUGAGUUGACAUUGGCAUUCCUAUUUUCCAACACACUGUGCACAAGCAAUUUUUUUUCUUUGUCUCGAGUUGAAUUUAAUGUGAAAUCAAAAAGUCAAUGGCUUUUUUUUGAGAGUUUUUGUUUGAUUAUAAAGAAACAAAUUUCACAUUCUCAAAUAGAAGAUUUGGAGAGCACUCCCAGAUCAAUUUUUGUCCCAACUUAUAAAGCAAAAAGGUGUAACACUAAUUUCAGAUAAUUGAAUGCACAUGUGGUUAAGAUUAUUUUUCUUUUGUUUUUAUGAUCACUCUUUUACUUCAAAUACAUAUAGAACAACUUAGUUACUUAGGUACGAUUUUAACCAUUAUAUUGAUGUAUUCGUACGCUUAAAUGUUUAAUAUUAUUGCUAAUCCAACAAACCAUUUGCUCCAAUUAUUUCAUCAGUGAGUACCCUUUUUCUUAUUUUUCCCAUGUACAUCACCUGAGAAAUCAAUUAUGAUGGUGAAACAUAUCUAAUCCUAAUUAGCCUUUCUUCUUUUUUUUUUUUUGGGAGGGAAUACACGCCCUGGGGCGAUGCGAUUCAAUUAAUCGAGUCGUACAGGUUGAAAGAACUUAUCUACAGAAGACAAAAAAAAAAAAAAAAAAAAAAUUUUGCUGGUGAGUCCCCAAUUGGCCAAGCGUUCCGCGAUUAUAGCAUUUUUAGAACAUCUCGAAGUCCAUCCAAAGUUGAAUUACUUGAAUUUUUUUUGUCCGAGCUUCAGCUGUUAGCGUAUAUGAAUAAUAGCUCUCAAGGUGCAAAACUUUGACGAUGGACGCUGAAUCUAAGAAAAUAUGAAGAUUUUCUUUAGGAUACAUUUGCAGUAAAAGUUCUAUCACUCGGGAGAUUACUCCAAUUUCCACAUAGCCAGCAUCGUGGGCAUUAUGUAUUGCGUCCGAUAUGUAUGUAAUGGCUCCAAUUAGUUGAAGAGACCGAUAUGUACGCAAAUCAAUAAUUAAAAAAAAUUAAUCCAAAUCGGAUUUCGGAUUUUGGGUUGGGUUCGGACACAUCUAAGGCACACCCAAAUAUAUUCAUAGGCCAAAAUUUCUUCGGGUCGGGCUUGGGCUUUCGGUGGCCCAAACCCGAUUACAACCCAAAUUAAGGCCCAUAUAUGUAGCUCAGUUUUGUAACAGCAAAUAUGUUUGUUGCCUAUACUUAACCACUCUAUAGUAUCAUGCAGGUUAACAACAAUAAUAACAAUAAUGAUAAUAAUAACAAGACGUUUUAAACAAAGAGUAAUAUUGAAUCUGGAGAUGGAAUCGAAGGUGACGAGGAUGAUAAAGAUAAGGAGCUGCGACGGCGCGGUGCUCGACGUGCCGGAGGAGGUGGCGGUGCAGUCGAGGUUGAUAAGGCACGCCGUCGAGGACGUCGGAACCGAACACCCGAUCCCAUUGCCGUUCUGUCAGGGCCCUUUUUAGUUGUCAACGGCCCUGACCUUGACAGUUCGUCACGGCGGAGACCCUAAACCUCGCCUUCGAGUACUGCACGAAGCACGCCGACUUCGCCGCCGCUGCGGCCAUCCCUGCAGCCGACGAUGAGAAGAAGAAAGCCGCGGAGACAGAGAUCAAGGACUGGACAAGCAGUUUUGUCAACGCGCUCUCGAUGGACGUGCUCUACGAUCUCGUCCACGUUCGUGCUUCUAUUUUUCAUGAUUACAUGCAAUAUAUUUUAUCUUAUCUGCAAUAUAAUUUAUUUUAUUAAAAAAAAUCAAGUUUCAUAAUUUUUUUUUUGUUUGAUUUUUUUUUUUUUUUUUUUGUUUCAGGGGUCGAAUUACUUGGCAAUUGAAGAAUUGAUGGAUUUGUGUUGUGAGAGAGUUGCCGGCAUGAUAAGAAGGAAAAGCGCAGAAGAAGUGCGUGCAACCUUCGACAUCAUGAACGAUUUUCCGCCAAACGGAGAAGACUAGUCACAAAUUUGUGAGAAGUUGUAGUUCAAAAUUAAAGACCAGCUUAGUAAAUAUAGUAGUAAUUUUCUUUCCUUUCUUUCUUUUUCUUUUUUUUUUUUUUUUGUUUGCAGAGGAAGUGCAAUUUUAGGAGGGCUUUUUUUUUGGCAAUUGAAGAAUUGAUGGAUUUGUGUUGUGAGAGAGUUGCCGGCAUGAUAAGAAGGAAAAGCGCAGAAGAAGUGCGUGCAACCUUCGACAUCAUGAACGAUUUUCCGCUGGACGGAGAAGACUAGUCACAAAUUUGUGAGAAGUUGUAGUUCAAAAUUGAAGACCAGCUUAGUAAAUAUAGUAGUAAUUUUCUUUCUUUUCUUUCUUUUUUUUAUUUUUUUUUGUUUGUUUGCAGAGGAAGUGCAAUUUUAGGAGGGCUUUUUUUUUGUAAAUUUAUAUUUGAUUCGAUUUUUCAGAUAAUGAAUAUAGUUAUAGUUAUUAUAGUUAUAAAAGUUUACUCAUUAACUAUUACGGAAAGAAUUUUUGAACAACUGAAAAUAUGAUAAUUUUGAAAAUAUGAGAUUCAGAAUAACUGGGACGAGGAACCUAAUAAGAAUUAGCUUUGAUUUGCAAUUUAAAAAGGUCAAAUUUAUUAUGCAUUAUCUUUCAAUUGUAUUUAUCUUUAACUGUGAUAGAUAAGAAUUAGAUUACUUAAGAAUUCUCUUUGAUCGAAAAUAAAAUAAAAUAGUUGAUAUAGAAUUCAGAUAUAAAUGCCACAUUCCUUUUUUUGAUUAAACAGGGAUAUGAACGCCACAUUCUAAUAAACAAGAUUUCUAUGCUUCUCGUAUCGAGAAUUAAUAAUUUCAGUUAUAAAAAUCCUAUAGACAAAGUAGAAUCUUAAGAAAAUCUUAAUAAGAAAACGAAAAUAUACUUUGAAUAUAUAAAAUUGAGCUCCUGUAUUUUUAAAAGUACUAAGUCAGAUUAUAUAAUAUAAUCUAACAGAUAGAAAUGGUCAGAUUAUAUAAUAUAAUCUAACAGAUAGAAAUGUAGAUCUAACGAUCGAAAACUUAUAAAUACAAAGGAAUACGAACUCUAUAUUAUUAAUAAUAUAAGUGCUUGGUGCUAUUAGAUUGGAUUAAGAUUCUUGAAUAAAGAUAUGUAUGAUUAGGAUGAUAAUGAUCCCUGUUAGAAUGAUAGUGAUCUUCUAGGAUAGAGUGAAUAAUUGGUUGAAUAGUAUAAUUUAACGGGUGCAAAUGGUUAAAGGAUAGAUUUAACUGGUGAAAUUGGUUGAAUAGUAUAAUCUAAUGAAUAAAAAUGAAUAAUUUGUUGAAUAGUAUAAUUUAACGGGUGAAAAUGGUUACAGGGUAGAUUUAAUCGCGGGAAACUUUGUGAUUUAUUGAUAUUUUUCUAUAUUAAUUUUAAACAUGUUUAUAAACCAAAUAAAAUCUCCACAUGAAAACAAAAUAAAAAGUGAUUUCUAAAAUUUUAUCUUUAACAAAAGAAAGGUCUUUUACUUAUAUAUCUCUUACUACUAUUAAAAUUUGCAAAAUACUCUUUGAAAAUUUCAAUUUUACUAGCGAUGGUCUAUUUGAACAUUUUUAAAAUGAACAAGAGUAUUCUAUCAUAUUUUUAAAAUUUUUAAAGAUAUGAUAACUGUUAUUCUUGAAAAAAGAGAAAAAAUCAUCCUUGACUUGCACCUUAAAUUUGUCCUCAAUUUUUUUUUUUUCAUUUGGUCCUCUCAAAAAAAAUUAUUUUAAAAAUAACUCCAACAAAUUUAUAUUUAUAAAAAUGGCCUUAGUCUUGCUACGCAGGGGCCACGUCAGUGAGGCGAGGGCCAGCCUGUUAAGUUGAAUACGGUGAAUCAUUUACUGUGCCGUGUUUGAGGAUUGUGAAAAAUUAUAAGUAUUGAAAAGAAGAAAGGAGGAGAAUAUACGUAUAAAAUACGGUUUGAACACGGUGAAUGAUUCACCGUAUUCAACUUAACACCAUGUCUUUAAUGUGGCGCCUACGUAGCAAUAAUAAGAUUAAAUUUGUAAUUAUAAAUUUGAUGGGACUAUUUGUUUAAAAAGAAAAAAAAAAAGAAAAAAAAGCCCUUUUAUAAAUUGGGUAGAGAUUUACCCCCAUGUAAAAAUAAAAAAAAAAAAAAAUCCUCGCCAUCGCAACGCCUCAUCGUUUUCGUCCGCACUAUUUUCAUUCUUUCUCGCCAAACACGUGAGUUAUCCUCCAACGUCCCCUUCGUACUCCCACCCCCAUACCCACUCUCCUCCUCCUCCGACGACGAAACCCUAGAAAUCCUCGUCUCCGAGCUCUCGAAUUGGGGCCUUGAACAUGGCAACGUCGGUGAGAGCGCCUACGUCGUCGCCUUCCUCUUCCCCCAGCUCCCUCCAGCUUCGGUUCGCUCGCAGGAUUAGGGCUUCUCCCUCCUCCGUUAUCCUCAAGAUCCGCGCCUCCGAUCGCCGGAUUCGCCUCGUGUUCGCAUGCGGAGAGGCCGAUAGAGGCCGGGGCGAAUAUCGCUCUUGGAGCAAAUCGGCGGGUGGAUCGCCGGAUUCGUUCGCGGGGUGGUCGGGCUCCGAGAGCGGCGGCGGGGGCGACUCGAAGAAGAGCGGUGGGUUUGGAGGUGAGGACGAGGCCUUCUUCUUCUUCUUCGGGUUGCCAUGGUCUUUGUUUCGUAUUAUAUCAUUUUGCCAAGAGAUCGUUCUAACGUGUUACUUCGAAGCAACGGUGAUGAUGAAGAUUCUUUUUUGAUCCCGUAGAAAAUGUUUUAGAUAUUUAUAUAUUUGUAGUUUAUGUUUAUGCAGGAGUCGUGAGUGCAUUUGGUAAAAUUAGUGUACUUUUGCCAUAAUUAAUGUUCAAGAAGAUAUGAUAGAUUAAAGGAACCACAUGAAAGAAUCGAAAGAAAAGAAUAUUUGACAUUUUUGGUUAUUGUACAUAAAGACCUUGUCGAAUUUUGAGAUUAAUGUAAGAAAAAUAUAUAUUUGUUCUGAAACUGUUUUAUGACCUGCAUGUAUUUGGAACUUCUAACGUGAAAGCAAGCAUGGAUUGAACUUUGAUCAAGUUAUUCUCGCUUAAACUCUUAAUUACUAUGUCAAAUUAUUUUUCAUAAUUUAUAAACCUCUCGACAAGGUAAGUUAGUGGUAUGUUCUUUGCAAGCAGAUGAUUGCGUCUUUGAUGGAACUCUCUGUGGUUCUUUCUGGUUAUUUAGAAGAGUCUAGAAACCCAUGUAAGCAGCUAGAUGCAGUUAGAGUUCAGUUCUUUUGGAGUACUAAUGACACUUCGAUAGUAGUUCACUUUCAGGGGCUCUUGGAGCAGGACUUGCUGGAGUCUUUUUUGCAGCUGGAGUUACGUUCGCUGCCUUGUCUCUCAAGGGGAGAAGUACUUCUGGUAUAAAGCUUUCUUCAUUUUCAUGUUUUUGAAUGCUGUAUAAUUUCGUUUGUUCUAAUGGACCAAACUUCCUGAAAGGUUUAGCUAAGUACCUUAUGCUUUUAACGCAAUUUAACUGCUUUAAGAGAGUCUCGCAUAAUGGUAGCAUCUCUUUUUCAAUGUAAUUUCAUGUCAAAGGGGUGUAGCAACAAAAUCCUGUUGACUCAUCUAAUCUGUUGUUGAAUAUGCUUUGGUUAUUCCAUUUAUGCAGGUGUCAAACAACAAAUGGAACCUUUAAGCAAUGAGCAAUCAGUCUUAAUUAAUAAUGAUGAUAACCCGAAAGUUGAUGAGGUCGGGAAUGCCUCUAAUGAUGUGCUGCAAAACAGUAACAGCACGACACUCAACAGCUGGUCGGAGAAUGAGACAGGUAUAGACAGGGACCUUUCUGUAGAAAAUAUUGAAGAUUCUAAUGAAACCAUAUCUAAUAGUAUAGACAAUUCGGAGGCUUGUUCGAUAAGUAACACUAAACCAGAUAGUGAUGAUGUUGAUGCUGUAAAUGCCGAUCAAUAUGACCAGAAUGUAACCUCCGAUGCUAAUGAUGUGCCAAGUUCCUUCUCGCCCGAAUUUCCUGCCCAUGCCAUUGACCUUUCAUCUGAUAUACCUAGUUUGAAGGAUUCUGUCAGCAAUGAACCUUCUGGUUCUUUUGGCCCAUCUAUUGUCGAUGAUGUCACCCUGGUUACAGACACUCAUUAUGAUUCCUCAUCACUUACCAAUCAUGUUAGUGGUCAUCAGGUGGGAGGUAUAAAUCUGGCAGAAAUAUUUGAAGUUGAUGAUCGAUCAACUACCUUUAGUGGGUUGGAGAAUGAGAAUUCAGUUGAUACACUGAAAUCCAAUAUAUCGAGUUUAGAAUCUGAUGAUGUUGUAGACACCCUGGUCAAGUUAGAAAAUGUUGUUGAUGUUGCAACAUUUGUGUCAAAGGAUCAAGAUGUUGAACAGCCUGAGAUGCUGGAGCUUCCCACUAGUGGUUUCUCUCGUGGUAUAUAUGAAGAAAGUGAAACUUUUCCAGCUGGAAUUGUUAAUAGUUCAGAUUUUGAUGUAGGUGAGGACCCAUGUAAUUCAAUUAAUCCACAUCCCAGUGGGCGCUCAGUAAAUGAAACUGUGGUAACUGUAGGGCAUCCUGUUUCAAUUACUAAAGAAAUAAGUGAAAAUGUGCUAAAAAUUGAAAGUCAACUUGAUAAAAGCCAAUUGUUUGAGUCGCUAGCGGCUGAGAAAUCUUUCUCCCGUGCUGGCAUCCCUGCUCCUGCUCCACUCUCUGCAGCUUUACAGGUGCCUCCUGGAAAAGUUUUGAUUCCUGCUGCAGUUGACCAGGUUCAGGAGCAUGCAUUGGCAGCAUUGCAAGUUUUGAAGGUACUUUCAUGCACAUCAUGUACAGUACAUCUGAAUAGCUUUAUUUGAUUUGCAUCUCUAUCAUAUUCUUCCUAAAAAUUUCUUCAGAAUGAAGUUGUGAUGUAUGCUAUCAUUGCAGUUUCUUAUUUCUCUCGAGUUAAUGGAAGUGGAUUCCUUUCGUGGGGUGGGGGUUUUUGGGGGUGGGGGGGAUAAUUUUAGAAGGUUCUAAAGGGUGAAGGGUGAGGGGGGCAUCAUUCUGGUCUUAGCAUACAGCCGUCUAUGGGUUUUCUGGGUAAAGAUUUUUUUUUCUUUUACUUUUUUGAAAUUCUCUAUGAUUGUAUUGGGCCUUAAUCUUGUGUUAGAAAAGAAGUAGAUCUCAUCUUACUGUUUGUGUCUACCCACAUAACUCGAUAAAUUAGAAAGCUGAACAUAUUUCUUGUUAAUUUUGUCAUUCUAGGUUAUUGAAGCAGAUGCUCGGCCUGUUGAUUUAUGUACUCGUCGUGAGUAUGCACGUUGGUUGGUAUCUGGCAGCAGUGCACUUUCGAGGUACAUUUUUUCUCCAAAUUAUUCAUUUAGAAACUGAACCAUACUAGUAUUGGUGGUAUACUGCAGUGUGAUGCGCCAUGUUUCACUUACUAAAGUUUGUCAAUUGGCUGUUAAUUUUUUUGCUCUUUAAUGAUUUAAGAAUUUCUGUGUUCAAACUGUUCACGACUCACAGAGUUUUAAAAUCUAAUUUGUUUAUUGGACUCAUCUAUCUGGAAAAGUUUUUCUUUUUCUAGACAACAAAAUUGAAUGAAGAUGAUUCGUUUGAGCAAGUUUGUGGAAAAAAGAAAUGAAGUGAUUACCGAAAAGUGUCCAUUCAUACAAUCAGGAACCAGAUUUUUCGUACACUCAACUAAUUUCAAGGAAUUCGUUAUGUCUGGACAAUAUUUUUUGAGAGCUGGACUAGCUAGCUUCUUGCAAUAUUUUAUGUGUUCCUACUUCCUGCGAUUGUAGCAAUUGAUUGUUUGGUCAUUUGAAGUACUAGCUUUAUGGAUUCUUACUUAGGAACACAACUUCGAAAGUGUAUCCAGCAAUGUAUAUAGAGAAUUUGACGGAACUUGCAUUUGAUGAUGUCACUCCUGAAGACCCCGAUUUCCCCUACAUUCAAGGUUUGAUGUUGCAUUUCAUUCUUAACUGCCUAGUUAGGCACCUUAGUUCCUACAAGAUUGCUACAAAGUGAUUUAAUUGCAAAUUCUUUUAUGCGAUGUCUUAUUGUGUAAUUGCACAAAAUAGGUUUGGCAGAAGCUGGUCUGAUUUCUAGUAAACUUUCAAGAUCUGUUAUAGAGAGCUCUGCUGAUGGGCAGCAAGAUUCUUUUCUUUUCUGUCCUGAAAGGUAAACAUUGUCCCCAUCAGUUGGAUGUUUCCUUUUUUUCUUUUUCUGAUAAUUGCUGUCCCAAAUCAUGCAUUUGCAGCCCUCUAUCACGUCAAGAUCUUGUGAGUUGGAAGAUGGCUUUAGAUAAAAGCAAACUGCCAGAAGUCGAUAGAAAUGUAAGGAAAACAUUGCUAAUAUGUUUUAUUUCUCUUCUUGUUUCGUGUCGAAAUAUUUGUAUUAACUUCAUAUAUAUGAUGCCUUUUCUUGAUUAGACUCUGUACCAGUCUACUGGCUAUAUAGAUAUUGAUAAAAUAAACCCAGAUGCUUGGCCUGCUUUGGUUGCUGACUUGUCUGCUGGAGAACAGAGUAUUACAGCUCUUGCAUUCGGUAAGAUUUUUUAUUUUUUAUUUUUUUUUUGGGUUUACCUCUUUCAAAUUAUGGUAAUGACUCUCCCCAUUGUUUAUGUUUUCCUUUUUUUUCCUUUUGUUUCCUCAUAUUCUGUGCAGUUGGAGGUGCCUAGAAAUUGAUUUCACUUUUGCCAUUGUUUCUUGGUUGGCAGAAGUCAUCUUUCUAGACACAUGAAGAAGCAUGAAAAAAAGCUAUUAGUGAAUUGUCGUUGUCUGUUGCCAAACCAACCCAUGAAUGUUGAGUUUGCUAGCAAUCUGCAAAGCAAAUUUAAGUAAUGUCAUCCUUAGGUGCCUUUACUCACAUAAAAUUUGAGAGAAAUAAACAAAAGGCAGUAAAAUACCAAACGUGCACGUAAGUACUAAGUGAUGUAAUCACUAUUACUUUUGGUUGUAGGUUAUACUAGACUUUUCCAACCAGACAAGCCCGUCACGAAAGCACAGGCUGCUGUUGCACUUUCGACUGGCGAUGCUUCUGAGGUUGUGAGUGAGGAACUUGCUCGUAUUGAAGCUGAGAAAUUGGCAGAGACUGCUGUGAAUGCACAUACUGCUCUAGUAGCCCAAGUUGAGAAAGACCUUAAUGCAAGCUUUGAGAAAGAGCUUUUGAAGGAAAGAGAGAAGAUAGAGGCAUUAGAAAAACUCGCCGAAGAAGCCAGGAUUGAAUUGGAAAAAUUAAGGAGGGAAAGAGAGGAGGAAAACAAUGCUCUCAUUAAGGGGCGAGCUGCAGUAGAAUCUGAAAUGGAAGUCCUUUCGAGGCUAAGGCAUGAGGUAGAGGAGCAAUUGCAGAGCCUCAUGAGCGAUAAAGCAGAGAUAUCCUUUGAAAGGGAGAGGAUUAAUAAGUUACGGAAAGAAGCAGAGAAUGAGAACCAAGUCAUUGUGCAGUUACAAUAUGAGCUUGAGGUUGAGAGGAAAGCCUUGUCCAUGGCCAGGUAAAGAUUUCAUCUACUGUGAAUUAUAUACAGUUCUCAAAUUUGUGUAUGUCUAUUAUUGCUUAUUCUGCUUGUUUGCUAGCAUGCUUGGAAUAUUCUCUUUCUUCAACAUUGAUGGCAUUCAGGCUGGUAUUGUAAAACUGUAUAUGGCUAAGCAAUAUAUGAUACAUAACAUAACGCUUGUAACUUCAUAAGCCGUUUAAUUACUUAUACAUGGACAAUUACAAUUCCAGGAUAGUUGAGCAUUAUAAUGCUCAACUCAGAUAACAUAUAGCGAUUUCUAGAGAACACGAAGCAAAUGUGUGUACAUUGGUUUUAUCUGUCCUUGACGUGUUCAUUAGGUAUGACUGUAUGAGCAACUAGAUACUUUUGUGUUGCCCAAGUACUUACCUAGUCUGCGGAACUAUUGGGCGUGGCCACGAAUUUGUAUUGUAAGUUUAUGAUAGCAAUUCCUCAAUUAUGUAACUUUUAGUAGUCUUUUCUUCCUCAGAUUAUUGUUUUAUUGUAAUAAAUGGCAAAAGGUAUUUUCUCACUAAAAAUGUAUGUAGGUAUUAUUGAGAAAAAACACUAUGACUAUAAGAGUAGUUUUGAAUCACCAGGGCUUGGGCAGAAGAGGAAGCGAAAAGAGCCAGGGAGCAGGCUAGAGCCCUCGAGGAGGCGAGAGACAGCUGGGAGCGCCAAGGCAUUAAAGUAGUUAUUGAUGAAGAUCUCCAAGAUGCUGCUUCCUCGGGUGUCACAUGGGUCACUGCUGGCAAGGAGACUCAAGUCGAGGAGACAGUCAAUAGAGCAGAGUCCCUAGUAGAAAAGCUCAAGGCAAUGGCUGCUGAGAUCAAACUUAGAUCCUCGGCUGUUAUUGAAAAGAUAAUUCAAAAGAUUGUAUCCUUAAUCUCAACUUUGAAGAAGCGGGCAGCCGAGACACUGGAGCACUCUUCAGAGGUCUGGAGUGAUACGAUUGCGAAGGCAAGAAAAUCGGUGGGCGAGUUGCAGGGCAAUGCGUAUGUAUUAGGGUCAACUGUUCAGGAGAGAGCGAGGAGGGUCGCUGAUGAAUGCAAGGAAGGCAUGGAUAAGAUCUCGCAGAGAUUCAGGACAUGAGGCAUCCUUCUUGUUUUAGUUUGUAGAAGUUGAGGAUUUUAGUUCUUUGGUACCUCUUCGAGAAAGAGGAUAAUGUUACUCAUCACAUGCGGAGAUUUAAAGCUGCAGUAAGCCGUAAGCUUUCUAAUAAGUGCUGCAUCUUUUUUUUGUUGUUGUUUUUGUUGUUGUUGUUGUUGUUGUUGUUGUAACAUCUUUGUGAAUGAAUACAUUGGUUAUGAAUCUCCCAUCUUCAAGGGAAUGAAAUGUUGAAAAUUAGCCGUGCAUAAUCCCGUCGAUUGUGAAGUUAAUUGAUUAAUCAGCUCUUCUCUUAAUCUUCAAUUAGUAAUUCGAGUUUUACGGAUCAAAUUAAGAUUUCCAAUAAUUCAUCAACUUAUGGUGAUCGAAGUAACCAAAUCACUCAUCAAUAAUUGUUUUGCCAAUGUAAUGUAGAAUGAAAUUUCAGGAAUGAAUUGCUCUGUUAAAUAAGACCACUUGAGAUUAAAAUUACUAAAAGAAAAUUUUUCUUUCUACCUAGAAUAUUUCUCAAAAACCACCUGUCAUUAUCAGCAACCAAUGAAUCUGAUAAAUUUAAAAUUGCAUCGAGCUCAACUUAAUAUCCUAACCUUUAUUUACAGUCAAAUUAAAUAAUUCAAUUGAAUGUGGAUCAGUAGCAGUAAGUUGAUGGACAAAAACCCAAGAGGAGAAACACGGAACCCUUCACCCUGCAAAAUUAAAGCACAAAGAAUAAGUAGUGUAUCUGACUUAUGACAUCGCUUGCAAUGUAAAGUUUUCUAGCAACUAGCAAAUGAAACACAACUGGGGAGUAUUUUUCUAUGUCGAUUAACAUGGUACGAUCUUCUCAGUAGGAACUCAUAUGCCAUGCUUCGGCAUCAUCAGAGACUCAGAUUGUCAUUAAACAGUCGUAUCCUCAAUUUAGGCUAUUCAUCAAUCAUCACAGUUCACGAGUACGAAUGCUUCAAGAACACGAAGACAUUAAUUUGGCAUGUCAUUGGGCUUCUAUAAGGGAUUGGGUCAAUGUGGCAUGGAACCACUUCUUUUGUUUUUUUGUUUUUUCAUAAUUCUUUCCAUACAAAGACAAUUUUAACUAUGUGAUAAAGCUGAAAUCAUUGUAGUUGACAAUUUUUUAGCUUUGUGGAAAUAGAAUGCUAUCUUUCGCAGAAGGGCUUUUGUUGCGAAUACAAAACAAAACAAGACAGUUUACACUUGAACAGUCCACUGGUGCGAAAAUCUGAAUCUAAACUAUUAGGUAUAGGUGAAUUCAUGACAUUAUCUAUUGGUAAGUUUCCAUUUUGAGACCAGUAAAUGUACAGAUGUAUAAUGCAGCAAUUAUCUUAAGCUGUCAUCCACCCUAAUUCUGAGUCUAGAUUCUGACAUCUGUAAGAAAUCAUCCAAACGGCAACUAUGGUUCCCUCAGAACACCUCCCAUAUUUGAGACCUGGUUAUAAUGUAAAAGUAGAUCCUCAACUUCGACAAAUUGUGGUGUGGUCUACCUGAAUUUUUGAUGAACAUCAAUUUGGCCCCUAAUCGUUCGCUUAAACAGUCUACCAACAUGAACUUACCUAAUAUCUUGCUGUGUCAUCUGUUGCAUUUUCCAUCCAAAAUCUCUUUCCGAUUGUACAAUUUAGUCAUUACUAUAUUAAGAGUCGACAAGUAGAGAUAGAGCUACAGAAGUGCACUUACAGGCUUUGUUUCCUUCAAUCUACGCUCAAUUAGCUUAUUACGACAAUGAUGGAACUGCUUGUAUUUGACAUCCUCGCAACUUCACAAAUUUAAUUUCUCUCAUCUCAGUUAUAGACCUAUAAUCAUCUGAUAUAGAAAGAAGUUAACUUCUUGUUUCUCGAGUCGGGGAAAAUUCUAUAAUUCAUGUAUACUUUUUGAUAAAGUAAUAUGUAAUAAUGUUCAUAAAUUGCUUCCAUAUAAUACCUCACUUGGUGAUGUUUGGUUUGGACAAUUUGAGUCGCAAGGAUAAGGGCAGUCAACUUCUUUCACCACUGCCCUCUCAAAAUACCAAUCACCAACUGCCUCUGCAAUAGUCUGAAAUUACAACGUAUCACACGUUAAACUGUGGCAAACUAUUAUUAAUUUGCUUCAAAGAAUAUUUCAAAAGGGUCAACUUUGUAUCAUUAAUUGAAGCAUAAAAUCCUUUCAGAAAUUACCACCUUGUUGUGCAAUCUAGGAGAAUUUGGUGCGAACCAUGUGUCUUGUGAUUCACUCUGACAAUGAGUGAAGCAAGAAUCUAUUAAGAAUCCGCCAUUUCUUGAUCCACUAAAAGGUCUCAGUGCAAUGAGCAUCUCAAUUCUAAAACCUGCAAAAAUAUUUUGUUAAAUUAUCGCUUCAUUCCACCAAAAUCAUUUUGAUUUGUAACGUUGACUUCUUUCUUUGAUUCUAUGUACCUAUUUUUCGAUAGAUACCUUGAUGGGAAUAUGAUGCAUGUGUAUAUAUUUGUAAAUGAAGUAAAAUAGUGAGGAUUGAUAAGGAGGAAGAUUCACUUUACCUGUAGUAAUUUCAAUCCAAAUGAAUGUAGUAUGUCCAUUCAAGUCGGAAAGUUACAAUCUCGAGAAUAUAGUAAAACUUAUUUCUUUUUCAUGUAAAACAAAGCUGAACUUGAUAUGGAUUUGUCUUACAUAAUUUGUAUAAGAGCUCACAAAGAAAUGCAAUUGUUGAAUAUAAAAGAAAUCAUAGCAAUGACUUGAUGCAUUUGUUGAGGAAUAACCUUGGAGAAUAGUCAUUUGGAGUGGACUACAGGCUUGAGGAUUGGACUUGCAUCGCCGCCAUCGCCCAUAUGGAUCUGCUGAGGGUGGCACAAAUAUAUGAUGGAACUGUCCAACAACAAAAACUCUCAAUCAACUACUCGUAACAUAGCCAAUCAAUGAGCAAUAGUUUCAUACGAAACCAAACUAGAUGUGAAACUGAUAGUAAUGGUUGUAUGAAUCACAUUGAAUAUGAUGAGAUUUAUCGGUUUAUAUUUCUCGAAGGGAAAGAGAUUUUCAGCUUAAAAAUGAGUCAUUGAUUGAGUUUGAAAUAAUGGCUCAAAGCCUUACAAAAGAAUUUCAGAAUUUCCAGCUCAAUAUCCGUUACCUGAUAUGUAUCAUAUGCUGAAUUUAAGAUGAAAUAUGGCGUUCUGAUGAAUGGUAGUGCGUAUUGGGGAAAGAAACACUGCAAAAGGUCAAGAGGUUUCGAAGUUAGAUACUUAUUUUUCAUAUUGGCCAGAAGCUAGUAAAUAAGAAAGUAAAGUAAAAUGAACAACCUUGUAGGCAUAAUCAUAAGAAGUCAAACAGUCCUUGUUUAGAUUUUUUUGCACCCCCUGCAGCAAAUGUCCACAUUUUCUUCAGUAAGAGGCAAAAUAUGUCAUGCUAAAAAUGGUUCUUUUAAGCGAUUAUUUUUGCAAAAUGUGUUCGAACCGCGAAACCAACCUGUAGAGUGACUAAGCUGCUAAAGAAUGGCCUAAUAGUGUUGUUUCCAGAUAUAUCUUUCCUGCAAGAAGGGUUAUUAUAAGUGAUUUAAUAUGAACUCUCUCGCUUUCUAAAAAGAUCCUUUAAAGCCGAUUAAGAAAUUCACGUGUCGAGGAAGAAUCCCGCAUCGCUCAUGCAUUUAACCGUCGCUGUCGCAGGAAGUCGCUGUGCAAGAUCAUCGCAGUGGAAAAAAGUAGCCAAACCCCCAGCCGAACAGCCCGAAAGCAGUGCCUGAGUUUAUGCAAGCAAUGCAAUGACAAACACACUACAAAAUUCAUAAACUUUCGAAGAUGGUGUUGUGAUGGAUUUUAUAAAUGACCAACACAUAGAUAUGAGAAUCAGAUGACAUUUUUAGCGCACGACGAAAUUUGAAAUAACCUUUUCGGCUUGCAUUAGCCCUUUGGAGAAAAGAUCACUAAUAAUUGCAUUCCAGAUCCUUUGGCCUCUGAAGUAAAGUAUCGAAGUCUGCGGAUUAGCAUAAGAAAUUGUCAAUAAGACUACAAAAACAAAGUUAUGUUGCAUAAUAAAAAAAAAAAAAGACAAUUUUGGCAUAGAAAAACAACUAGAGUAGAAUACAUUGAAUUAUGAGAAUCUUACUCCAUUAUAGUAUUCAGAAUCUCCUGUAAAAGAGGCUCCGUCGCAGUAUCGAAGCUUUACGCGGUUCCAAUUAUAGAAAUCUAAUACAAAAAAAAGGCUUUGAUCACAAAAUUUAUUAUUUUGUAUACGCAAAUAUAAGACAAAGAAAUAUAGAAUAAAUUCAGUUCUAAAACCUAAAUUUUCACCAUGUAGCCAAAUCAUAGCAACAAGCAUUAUUGAUCCUGGUCUAUACCAUGGCAAUACAAAUCUACAAUCUUAAGAAUAUUAGUCACAUAUUUAAUAAUAAUAUGUUGAAUAUAUAUAUUAAAAAUAUCAUUUGCUAACAGCUUAAUUAAGCUUUUGAAGAACAACGGCUAUUUAAUAUUAUUCUCACAUGACAUAUAUUAAAAUUGAUAGUUUGAAUCUAUUAGAAAAUAACCAUAUAUUAUCACAUUAUUUUAACACAACGCGAAUUCUAAUACGUACAUAAUGUCAAUAAUUAUUGAGUUCGACCUGAGCGUUUUGUUAACAUGAAAUCAGAGUUAAGUUCGCGAUAAUUAGAAUUAGUGGCUUGAAUAUGAUAUGAGAAAUUCGGUUUAACUAUUAAGUAGGCAUUAAAGAGAUCCUUUCUUUUAAUUAAAAAAAGGGGAAAAGAAAUCAACGGCUGAGAUCGAACCUGGGUUCAUCGUAGGGUCGUUACUGAGGAUCCCGAGGAACGGCUCCAGCUCUCUCUUGUACAGCGUGGACCCCCUCCCUGUCGUCGCCCGCGCCGCACACGAUGCCACGUCAUUGCACCACCCUCCCCCCUGCGCAUCAUCGCCACACCCCCAUUAUUCAUCAGACGGUCCAGAUUGAUCGAUCCCACAUCCGUCCGAUCUUAAUCGGACGGCGGAAGGCAUAGCAUCAAAUGAUAUUUUAUGGGCCGGGCCGGGCCCAAAAUGAGGCCCACAAAACCCGGCUCACCGACAUUUUGUUUAGGUAUGUAUUAAUCUAUCUAAUAAUAAAGUUAUAUAUAUAUAUAUAUAGUAAUAAAUGUAAAAUUAAUAAAUUAUUCACAUAACUAGAUUUGAAAUUUAUUUAAAUUUUCAAAAAAAUUUAAAUUUAAAAUGAACCAAUCAUUACCUCAAACUGUAGCAACCAAUUGCGAGCGCCGGCGCCGAAUCCUCCGUCAAGGUGAUAUGCAGGGGCGCUCCCAUCAAUACAAACUUGCGAAUCAAUAAAUAAAUAAAUAAAUAAAAAGUUAAAAUUAAUUAAAUAAGCAAAAAAAAAAAAAACAAUAACGAAAAAAAAUUAUUUGUUUUUAAAUUAAAUAAAUUAUAAUCACAGUGAUUAUACUGUUGUACGUAGUUUUACCUGCUCCAAUGGAAACGGCGUGAGGGAGAAGCGUCAUGGGGACGAGAAGCGUCGUGUCGUUCGCUCGCGCACCUUCGAUGCUUCUAGAAGGAUCGAAUCGGAGCGAAAUUACGAGCGCGAAUAAAAUCCAAAUCGAAUCGCGUUUCGCCAUUUUCGGGGAGGAAUUGAAGAUUUGAUAUAUUAUUAUUAUGGUGUGAAAAGAGGAUGGAGAUCAGAUUAAAACGGAUUUAAAUGGGUAGGGAAAAUGAUGAGAAAAAAUAUGAAUAUGAGAACGAGAGAGAAAGAGAGAGGAGAGGAGAGAGAAAAAGGGCACUGAUACGGAAGGGAACGGAUUAGUGUUUAUGGGUUUUUAAGAAGAGAGAGAGAGAGAGAGAGAGAGUAACAACAAAUUUAGUUGCAUUUAUCUCAAAUAAUUUGGGAUAAUAUGCAUUUAUCGGAAAUAAUUAGGGAUAAUAAUGCAUUUAAAUUGGGUUGGUUUCAAAACGGGUGCCCAAAAAUCAGGACAAAAAUUUUAUGGGCAUAGUCUCCAAACUAAUAGUUUACCAAACUAAUAGUUGGGGGACUAUACGGAUCGGCGCCACGUGCCCGAUUCGACGGCCACGGAUGGAAAGAAAAAAAAAUUAUAUUUUUAGAGAGAGAGAGAGAGCGAAAAAGUAAUUGAGAUCCGUGCCGUCGGAUCGGCCACGUGGUACCGAUCCGCAUAGUCCCCAAACUAAUUUGGGGACUAUACCCAUAAAAUUUGUCCCAAAAAUCGGCUUAAGUCGAACAAAAGUUAAAGAUAUUCUGUUUGUUUCGGUCGUCCACUUUGAGAACUCGUUGUCUCUGAUUUUGACAGAAAUUAUGUUAUUUAUUUUGUAACUACAAAGCUUAGCGGGUGUAAAAAGAAAAUUAAAACUAUUAACGCAAAAAACAAAAAAAGCAAAAAGCCCUAAAAGUGGCCCGCUUAAAUAAGAAUUAUUGGUUGAUUUGAGAAGUUUACAUAGGUGAUAUAACGCUCCAAUAGUCCCAUGUCAAAUAAAAAAAUAAUUUUAUUUAGAAUAUAUGAGAUCGACAUGCUAAUAAUUAUAAUUUUAACUUAAAUAUUUUGGGCAGAUCAGAUACUAAAAGCGGAAUAUCAACUAGAAGUGUGAGAACGUCGCCAGGGCUUAGAAUAUAUGAGAAUAUGUUGGAUAGUAUGGAACUAUAGCUACAUGAUGACAUUAUGUAGGGGAUAUUAAUGAAAGAUUUAUUCAAUCUGUGGCGUUUAGCUUAAACAUGGAAAAGCAUAUAUGAUUUCUUAUAUAAAUAUUUGUGCAUGUGAUAGUGUAGAAUUCGCAUACAUGCUAGAUGAUAUAUCAUGUAGAGACAUAACUAUUAUUGAAACUGUUUAGUUGUUAUUAACUUUAUGCUCAAGUUUAUUGCAUUUUAUCAUGCCUCAUUGUCCUAGUGGUGUAUUUUACCACUCUCGGUGGCUUACCGACUGGGAACUAUUGUUUAAUAAUUCUCACCCCUAUUGGUUGGUUGUUUUUGUUUCAGAGCCUUUCGCAGCAGGAAAGUUUAGGGAUCGGGGCAAGAGAGGUAACGACUAACUAGAGCCUCACAAUGUGUGAUAGAUGAACCAAUAAAUUUAUUUAGUGGUUUAGUGCUGUGAUGUAUUAGUAUUUUGAGUGAGAUUCUAUAUAUUCAUAUUAAUUGUACCAUUGAUUAGAAUUGUUGUAAUCUUGAAAUAUUAGUUAAGAAUUUUUAUAUUUAGCCGUUGUAUGUUCUCGCUCUGAUUAUCAUAUUUCAGGAUGGAUUAUACUACCAUUCUCUUUGAUUGUUGUAGACACCUUGUGUGUAUUGUGAUUUUUGGUGUGCACGGCGGGUCUGUGCACGCACCCGGCGGGCUUUCGCUGUAGCUCAGGGCGUGACAGAUUAGUUUGGUGUAAUAACAAUAAUAACUGGAUUUAAGCUUUGAUGGUUAAAUAGUGGGCCUUUGCAAACAUAUUCGAUUUUGGAGGCCCAUGGUCUCAUCAAUUUGAAUAUAAAUUCUACUGUUCCGUCAAAAAACAGGAGAAAAUAUAAGCAGUUUUCGAUACCAAAAUGAGUCUUUAAAUACUCCUUAUCUUCAAUUUUUCCGAUUUAAGUUUUCCAAGUUAGUUAAGUGUUUUUUUUUUCAAAUUAAACUGCUCUAUUAGCCAUUAGCUGCUAAUUAAAUUAGUUUCGUUUGAUAAAAUUUUUAAGUUAUUUGAUGGAAAUUAUUCCACUGCAGAAAAUAAAAUAAAAGUUAAAGCCUCAGAGAAACUCAGUUUGCCCAAUCUAAUGAACGGCCGGGAUCUCUGAUGGACGUUCCAUCAACGACAAAUUUUUAGUUGUUCAGAAAAAUUAUGGAGCAUUUUGAGUCGGCUAUCUAACCUCUCAAAAAUUUUAAUUUUAUCAUUCAACAUUUUAAUUUAUUUGAUUUGAAUAAAUUAAUGAUAUUUUAAUUUUAAAAUUUUAAUAUGUUGUUUAUCUUUACAUAGAUGUUGAGUUUUAGUAUAUUUUAUUUAAUUCUCGCAACUAUAAAUUUAUUAAAAUAAAUAAUUAGUUUAAACUUUGAAGCGUAGCACUGCUUGCUGAUUAAUCAAACAAAGUAAAAGAUUAAAUAUAUAGUAAAAUACAAAUUUUGAAAGAUUGAGUAGCUAAUUCAAAAUGGUCAAUAAUUUAUGUAAGUUCUGUAUGUUUUGACGUUCACAAUGUUACUACAAUGAAUGGGCAAGUAACAAAUUAUAAUUAGAAAUAGGAUGAUGAGAUGAGUAGUUAUGGAGGUAAUAUUAUAAUAUUUUGGUGUAUUUAGUUAAUGAAGCAACUAUGCUUAAGUUGAUACCGAGAAGUAAAUAUUAUUACUUGUUAUUUAAAACAAAAAAAAGCAAGCAAAUCUAAUUUAAAAACUCUUUAGGGUCAAACUACACUUGGAAGGGAAAGGAUCACCCAACAAAGAUAUGUUUAAUUAAUUCAGGAUGUUAAGUCAAUUAUAGCUUUAGCUUUAAUUAACAAUAACUAACACAAAUUAUAAGAUAAGGGAAAACGAAGAUGCAUCUUCGUUACAUUAUCUAGGGUUCCAAUUAACAAAGUCCCAAUAUUUGUCACAUUUAUAGAAAGAUAGAGGUAGCUCUAAUGUUACAAAAAAAGUGAGCAAAAUUAAGUGCAUUUUUUCCAAUUCUAAAGACCUUCUUAAGAAACAGAAAUUGAGUUACACAGCAAAAAUUUAAAAUGAAACUAAAGUAUCUUUUUAGUUUUAGUUUAAGCUACACACUAUUUAAUUUUUCUAACUUGAUGUGUGCGUUUUUUCGUGAACAAAAAAAGGUUUGAAAAGUUUUACUCAUAAGAGUUCCUAACUCAAUCUCCCGCUUUGUCAGAAAAAAAAUAAAAUAAAUGAGACUAUUCCAAUAAUAUUAAUUGUAUAAAAGUCGCGACAACGACAAAGACUCCUAAAGCUUCUGUUUCGUGCUUUAUUUAUAACAUACUAUAUAUAGUUUCUCUAGUAACGUAUCAGUACCACGCUCAUAGCAUUUCCACAGAAGCUCUAUUAGGGACAAACAAAGCUUAAAUUAUUAGUUGGUUAUGUGUCAUUGCCUAUGGGAGUGAGAACAUGAUCCAUUAUUAGUUAGUUAGGGCUAGGGAAUCAAAUUAAGUGAUGCAUUUCUAAUGGACCCAAAUUAAAGAAGCCACUAUAUAUAGAUGCAUGGUCCCCUCUCCUAUGAUCUUUUUGACCAUAUAGGACAAGUAGAACAUAUAUAAAUAUGUAUUGCUACAAUUUUUUUUAACUAGAUCUAAUUUGAUACAUACUAGUACCAUCACCAAUAAUAAAUCCUAAGCAUUCAAAGGUUAAAAAGUUUAUAAUAAACACAGUUCUUCUAUUAUUUAUAGUAUAUAUAGUAGCUGAAUUCAUAUUUUCUUUAUAUUUUUUCAUUAUUUUUUGAGAGAAAGAUAGUAUGCUAUCCGCUUCGGUUAUUUCAUUAUUGUAGUACUGUAGUUUUGCAUUUCUUCAUAUGAACACUUUAAUUGGUCCCUAAACGUUGUUAUAAAAUAAUCAUUUUAUUACUCUAUAGUAUAUGAUUUUUUUUUUUUGAGGGAUAAAGGUAGCAAGCAUUUUACAUUAAAUUAUUAAAUAUAAAUUUGCAAUAAAAGUGCAAAAAAAUGUGAUAAGCGAUGCAUUUUAACUUUCCAUAGAAGAGACCUAUUGAUGUUCAUAAGAGCAUACUAUUGCUCGAAUAAAACUACGUAAUUACGACGAAUGCAUGUAAAAUUAUAUAUUUUUAAAAAUUUUCUAAUAGAAUUAUAGAACUUAUAUUAUUAUAUUAAUUAAAUCAUUGUGAUCUAAGCAACAUGCUUUUAUUUACAAAAAUAAAUAUAAUAUAUAUAUUAUUGUUAUUUUUUAAAGGGGAGAUCGAGCUCCGCGGGAUAGAUAGAUUCGAGUAUACGUAAUGCGUAAUGAGAUUGUCGGAAAAGAAUAAAAAAAAAAAAGAAAAAGAAAAAGAAAAAAAAGAGAGGCUCCCACCAAACUCCGAGGGUGACUCCUUUUUAAAGUUUGGGGGGCUUGUUGUUUGGGAGGGAGAGAUGGGUCCCACGUGCAUGUCAUGUGACCGUGACGUUACUGCAAUUGUUCGCUGCACCAGGUUCAUCUGAAAAUAAUAAUAAUAAUAAUAAUAAUAAUAAUGAAAACAAUAUGUUAUUCUAGCUAUGUCUUAGCUCAAAUUGAAUAAUUUUUGGGUUAAAGUUCAUCUGAAACUUGUAUCUAUAUUUAUACUUUAAGGCAACGUUUGGUUUGGGUAUAAGCAAGAAUUAGCUAUUAUAGGGAUAAGUACAAAUAUUGGAAUAAGAAAAAUAGCAUUUGGAUGAAAAUUGAGUUGUUUCAGGGGAUAAGAAAAAUAACGUUUGGAUAGAUAAUAAGAAAUAAGAAAAAUAGUGGAUAGUUAUAUAUAGAAAAUGGAGGUGUUGGUAGGGAUGAUUAUACCCGGUUAUUAUAAGUAACCGAGAACUACUAUUCUCGGAUAAAAAAUUAGCGUUUGGAUAUAAAGAGGGGGAUAAGGGGUUAUUCCACCUCUUAUCCCCAUGCCAAACGCUGCCUAAUAAAUUUGGAGUUGGCUUUAAAUGAAAGUUCGAUUCAGCCUAAAUUUAUUAAUACUUAGUAAAGUUAAUAAAAUUAGUUAGUUAGAAAGUUCUUAAAAAAAUAUCUAAAUAUCGAUAGAAAAUACUAACUUGUGUAUGCUAUAGUACUUAAAUUAUUGAUAUCUAAAUAGUAAGACAUCUAAGAGGGAUAGAAAAAAAAUUAUGAACUCAAAUACCUUAUGGCAUUUGAUAUAAUAUACCGCAAGAUAUUUAUUUAUUUUUUAUAAAUUUGAUAACUCCGACGAAAUCAAAAUUUAUUCAAAAUUUGAAAAUUCAUUAGUAAUUUUUUGCGAUUUACAUAUAGCAAGCCAGCAUCGUAAUGCGAAGUUCAACAAAUGGUUAUAAAUCAAAGUAGCUACAAGUUAUGAAUCAGCGAUGGUGGAAAUAAAAGCUCGACAUUAAAUUAAAAGAAAAAAAUUACAAAAAUAAUUGUGGUGCACAAGAUGUGCUUAUGCACCGGGUGCAGCCAAAUAAUCUGGCCCAACUCGCCGCGAUUGUCUAUGUUCGGCCGCAGUCAGAAGGCACCGAGACUCGGAUGCUGAGUGCUGACAGCGACCGACACGAGACGAUGCACCCAACGUGAAAUUACAAUUAUGCCCUCAACUCCUCUUCAAUGUUUGACCAGUGACUGCUGUGGCGGCUUUGGACUACUACUACACUUGUGUGUUGUAAUAAAGUAUGAUUAAAACCUAAAGCAAUGCUUAAAAAGGAAAAUUAAAAGAUGAGUGAGCAUUUAAUAUAAUUAAAUCACUAGUCAGUACAAAAAUUUAAAAAGUUUAAAAACACAUUCUACUUAAUAUUUUUACCCAGUAAAUUAUUAAAUUAUAUAAAUUUAAAAUUUUAGCUGAGAAUUUUUUGCUCUAAAAUCAGAGAUAAAGAGUAUGAAAUAAUAGUUUUUUUUCUAAAAAUUUAAAUUACAAAAGAACGGUAUUUUUAAUAUUUAUACUCAACAUAAAUUUCUCAUAUUUGAAUUUAAAUAUUAUUUUUUUAAUUUGAAAGCUCAGCAAUUCAUAUAUAUUAGUUAUUUCUUUUUUUUUCUAAUUUUUAUCUUGAUUUUCUACCAAUUGGAUGAUUAAGAUCAUGCAUUCAAACUUCUCUAACCGAUGAAAAUUGAAAAAAAAAAAAAAACUAUUGCCAAAUUUAGUAUUAUCCCACAUUUAUUUUUAUUAUCUCUGAUAAUGCUAUUUAUUUAAAACUAAAUCACCAAUCAAAUUCGCAAUUAGCAAAUCCACACAAUUGCUCCAGGAAGGGUAUUCCGGUAAUUUCGGCCUCCACAGUCCCAGUAGAGCCCCUGGUGAGGACAAAACCCGCUUUGAAAAAAAUAAUUAAUUAUUACCUCUAACCUCACUCUCUCCCCAUUAAUUAAUUAUUAAUUGUAGCUAAUUAAUUAUUAGCUGCUUUCCUUAGCAGCUAGAGGAAGUAAAAGCUUGAGAGAGAUUGCUUAAUUUUUUAUAAUAAUAAAUAAUAAUUAGGUCCAAUAAAUCGACAUAAUUAUUCCCCAAAUUACCAAUUUCUCUUUUUUUUUUUUUUUUUUUUUUUUCUCUUUAAGAAAAGCGGGAGAGAGAUUAUAGCGACUCCCAAUGUUGAAUAGUGUCUCCUUCUCCAUAGCUUUUCCUCUUCCUCAGUAACCAUUACACACUCUCUCUCUUUUGUCGACGCAAAAACCCUCGAUUGCUAGGGAUUGAUUGCUUUUUGGGCGAUUCCAGGUACUUGGCAUUACCCUCUCCGUGCUUUGCUCGCUCAAAUCGAUUUGUUUGAGGUUUAUACGAGGGAUCGAGGUGCUCAUAGUGGUAGGUGGGAUUGUGCUUCGUCCCGAGUUGAUUUGGAGGUGGAAAUGGUGAUUUUUGCGGGUAAAAAUGGCGUCUUUACUGUUUUUCAGUUGUUUUGGGUAGCUUAUUAGGGUUAGAUUGGGGGAGAUCUGGUGGUGUACGGGCGAUUCUGGUUGGAAUUUAUGUGAUUUUUUUUAGUAGUCAUAUCGGAUUUUUCGAAUGAUGAGUACGUAUACGAUUUGGGGCAUUGAUUGCUCUUCUCUCCCCCAACUUUUACCUUCUUUCCUUAAUUGCGGAGGAUUCGAGAAGAUCUUGUUCCUUGUGGGGCUUUUACUCAUUGGGUUCUCUUCCCAUUUAGCCACAAUGUGUGUAUGUAUGUGUGUGAAAUAUAUCUUUUCUUCUCUAUAGGCAAGGAAUUGGGCUAUUUGUUACAGCAACAUUUGUGCCUUUUGCGUUCUUCAUGUGCAAAAAUGGGUACUUUUUUUUUUUGCCCCUCCUCUGAUGGUGUUAAUUGUGAUAGAGAUGAAUGUAUUUUGCCUUUGAUCUUGUGGUAAUUGUCAAAAAAGAGGUAAACUUGCAGGUUUGUUGAUGGGGAAAGAAAAAGAGGGAAAAAAGAAAAACAAAAUAUUACCCAGUUUUCUUACUAAACUCCCCUUUACAUGUUACAAUGUUGCAUUGUUGUAUUUUGGUGUAGCUGGGAUGAGCAGAUGAAAAAUCAUGUGAAUGGCAUUGUGUAGAUUGUUCAAAAUGUAACUAGAGAAUAAAGACCCCUUCAUUUUGUAGAAACUGCUCUUCUCUUCUUCGUAUCGUGUAAUUUUCGGUCUCUAGAAGUUGAUGCAAAUUCGAAACAUGCGAUCCUUGUGUGGUAUAUCUGGGUAUCUUGUUAUUUCUCUAGACCAUAUUCCAACUAUGUGGUUGACGCAGAUUAGAUUACUGUCUCUCGAUUCAUGUCUCCUCUUCACCUUUUGUACUCUUACAGUAAAUUUUUCAUUUUCUUACUUUGUAGUAUUGGUACAUAGGAGUUCAAAAUACUGAAUUAUAUGAGCAUUAUUUGUCGAUUUGGAGAGAUGGUUAUGUGGGAUCUGACUUGAUUUGCUUAUGCUUCAGCAGGUCAAUUUUUCUAUGGGACAGGAUGUGACUUUGGAAUUUGAGAAUCAUUCCCAAUCAAGGCAUACUCGCAAAAUUGUUCAACCCUCUUGUCGCAGCAAGGAAAAAGCAGAAGAUUGUAAGAAAAAAAGACAAACAACUAGCAGAUAUUACCAUUUGAAAAGUUCAGAUGGCGACUUUAGAGAAUUACCCCUUGACCGCAUCCCAAAUUUCCAUUGCAAAAGCUUACCUUCCAGAACCUUCGAACCGAAUCUGGAAGAAAACGCAGUGCUAAAACGUGGCUCUAUGUAUCAGAGCUCCAGAGAAGUAAGGAGGAUGAGAAAGCUCAAGGAGGGAAGGAGGAAAAUAGAUUCAGCUUAUGAUGAAGGCGCAUUUCUCUCCUUUAAGAUUGUCGAUUCAGUGUCUCAACCCAGCACAAGCGAAAUACUUCCGCUAUGCAAGGAGAACAGAUCGCCUCUCGUCGCCUUGUAUGCUGAACCAAAGUCAUCUUCUUCUGACCCAGCUCACCCAAUCACUGGAAGAUCCGUGGAAUUUCUUGAUCUUUCAUUCCGUGAUCUUCCUGAGAAGCGCUUGAAAGGUGAUGAUACUUCAAGCCCAGAUUUCAGUUUUCAGAAAAUGCACUUAUUAGAUGAACUGUUGGAGAUCUCUCUUGACUAUGAGGAGACUAAAAGUCAUUGCAGAAGAGCAGCCCCUGGCAAAAGCUUUCCUGAAACAGACACAGUAGGUGCUCUUCCCAAGUCAUUUUCGACCAAGGUAGGACUAGUUGAUUCUCCUAGCCAACCGGAGGUCGUCAUUAAAAAUGCAACCUCAAAAGCUCGACCAAGCCCAUUCAAGAGGAUGUUGGACCCAAUCAUGAAGUCCAAAUCUAUGAGAAGCUCAUCUCUCCUUGAACCGGAAUCAGCUAAUUUGACUGAUCCUGUGAACGUCAGGAGGAACGGAAUCUCUCGUAAAUCUUUGUUGAACGACUUCUCGAAGGCAACAAAAAAUUUGGAGUCUACUCAUCAGUCUGUUGGGGAAGAUCGAUUCAUGACAACUGCUUCUUCACCUGCUCAUCUACAUGCUGUUCUUAAGUUGGACUUCAACAACGGCGUCCCAUCUUUCGAGUUCUCCACUAAGUACCCAGAAGAUGUUCUUUCUGCAAAAGCAUGGAAAACAGGAAAUGCAUAUAACUGGGUCUACACCUUCCAUAGUUAUAACAGGAGGAUUAGUAGCGGGGGACGAUCUAGCAAAGAUAAGCAUGGGCAUUCACCUCCGAUUGUUGGCCAAAUGCAGGUCUCCUGUUAUCUGUGCUCAGAAGUAAGAGACGAUGGAGUUUUGAGUAACUCCACUGUAACCGAGUUUGUUUUAUACGACAUUGCUCAGGCCAGACGGAGCUUUGCUGUUGAAGAGAGAACUCAGUACUCAUCAAGUUCAGUUCACCCUUCCACAUCUAGUGUUGCUGAAAACUUGGGCACAUCGGAACAGCAACACCACUUAGGAGACACUUUAAAUAGUAGCUGUGAUUAUCCUGCCUCUACCUCUUACCCAUGGUCACAAUCAGAUUUACAUCCGCAUCUGGAAAUUGCGGCUAUUGUUAUUCAAAUACCUUUUAACAAAAAAGACUGCUUACGAGAACUGAAGAGACGAGGGGUCAAUUUACCAAAUGCCACUUCUGUUGAUCAGAGAAGGGAGACGACCACGAAUAUCUCGUGUCCUAAUGUGGUAAAAGUGGUUACUCCUAGCGGGCCUCACGGAUUGCCUAAUGGUGACGAUGCGGGUCCUUCUUCGUUAUUAGAUAGAUGGAGAUUCGGCGGAGGCUGUGACUGUGGUGGGUGGGACAUGUCCUGUCCAGUUGUUGUGUUUGAGAAUCCAUGUGAUGAUGAUUGGGCUAACUGCUUGACAAUGGAGAGCAAGAAACCAUUGGAGCUUUUUGUUCAGGUAAAUACUCCUAUUACAGCAUAUUAUUUCCUAGAUUUCUUGUAUAUGUCAAAAGGGUUUUUGCUCAUAUUUUUCCUCUGCAAAUAUGGAUAAUGUGUAAAUACCCCUGCAAAGUUUGUAUAUGUGUUUGUGCCUGGAAGCUUUGCAGUGGUAAUUGCAACGCAUAUAUAUAUGUACGACCCUUAAAAGAAGCCGUGCUCUUAUACAAAUUAUGAUAUUCAUGGUUUGUGCAAUAUUUCUAGUCUCUGAUACUUAUGCUUUAACUUUUGAAAUGCGUAGUAAUUAUAUCAAUAUAUGCUAUUCGUUCUAUAGAAACAUUUGUUGAAUGUAUCAUCUUCCUUUUCUGUUCUAGAUUCUCAAUCUAUACCGACAACACUUUGUGACACUAGAACGAACUUACGGACCAUUUUAAGUGUAUUAUCAUAUUCAAUUUCGUUGCUUUUUAUUCUCAAUCUGACGAAAUGCUACAGGGAAGCACGAGUGUAUUAUCAUAUUCAGUUCCGUUGAUUUUUACGCUCAGUCUGAUGAAUUGCUACAGGGAAGCAAGGAAAAGAUACCUGCACUAUCCAUAAUGGCCGAUGGAAAAGGACAAUAUUCGAUUUACUUUCAUGCGCAACUAUCGGCAUUACAAGCGUUUUCCAUCUGCAUCGCCAUGUUACACUGUUCCGAAGCUUCUUCAGCUGUUGUUGGUCAAGAGAAGAACAAGCACAAGUUGUACUCGAAUUCGCUGAAGCUGCUCCUCGAGGAAGAAGUGAGACAGUUGAUCGAAGCAGUCGCGCUCGAAGAAAAGAAGAAGACCAAAAAGAAAGCGGAGCAGAUCCCGCCGGCUUUCUUGCUCGACCCGCCCUUUUCUCCGAUGGGAAGAGUCUAGAGAACGAACGGAUAUAUGGAGGAAGAAUUAUUGCGGGAAUCGAAGAGAAUUAGCGAGGGAUAUGGGUGCUCAAAUUAUUUUUUGUAUCCUUUGUUCAUGUGAAUUUUGUGUUUCAACUCCUGUUCAUAUUAUUUAUAGUGGUCACAGGCAGCAGCGUCCAUAUGUUUUUGUAGCUUGUAGUGAGAAAAAGGGUGUUACAUUCUAUGAAUGGUGCGCAAAUGUGGCACUUUGGAGCCAGAAGCCAUCUUCUGAAAUAAAUAGAAUUAUUAUGCCUAUCAGUUCCAGAUUUCUGCACCUUCUCCUAUUUAUUUUUCUCUAAGAUUUUGUGCAAGAAUUUAAGUGCAUUAGUAAGGAAUCGUGCCGAACUAUUGUUGGCACGAUACUACAUAGUAUACAUCGUGCUGUGCCGAUCAAAAAAUACUUGUGUUGAUACAUAUUAGUAUAAAAUAAAUAUUGUUUUAGCAUCAAUAUUUGAAAUCAAAUUGCUUAUAAUAUGUAUUUUUAAAUUUUUUAGUACUUUGUUGAGAUAACUAUUUACUUUUUUUUUAAAAAAAAAGAAGGUUUGAGUCAUGCCAUCGGCACACGAAGUUGCAUUAUGCUGAUAUCUUUUUGGGGUUGUAUCGUGUCGAUAUUUUGUUGCCGCCGUAUGAUACGAUGGACUGGACACAGCCCAUGCCAAUGGACUCUUAAAUCUUUAUUUUUAUGUUCGAUAUGGACGAAAUAACACGAAAUGUUCCUCAACUACAAUUGUGUUUAAGAGUUCUUGCCAUGAAAUCAAUGUCUUGGAUUAGCCCCUGGAAUUUUCUGGAUUAUCAACAGCAUAGAAGAUCCGAAAUGGUAGCCUAAAGUUUCUGCAACAGCUUCUCUUCAGCAGAAACUUUAGGCCCUGAUAUAUCAUCUAUUCUUUAUACGGAUAUAUACCCAUAUACGUGGUCCAUCGGGCCGAAUCUCGUUUAGGCCCUGGCCCAAUUCAAUCCUGUUUAGAACGAUUAACACCAUAACUUCAUACAAAUCCAUCCCAAAAAUAAAAGGUGAAAAUUACGUUACGAUGAUUAACACCAUAUUACGAUGACAAUUAUGCUAUAGAAUACUUGCUAUUGGAUAUUUUCUAGGUAGCAGUUAUUACGUUACGAUAUUCAUAGAAAGGAGAUGGGGUACGCCGUACGCGAAUGAUAGUAUAAUUACAUAAAUACAUUUCCAAAUUUCUCUUUCGGCCCUGCAAAUCCUCUCGUUUUAUUUUUCAUUCUUCUGGAUUUCUCAUUGUCGUUCUUCUCUCUCUUCAUCUAUAAUAAUAGGUAUUUUUUUUUCCUCUGUCCCUCUCCUUUCUUAUCUUAUAUAUUUUUACUAUCUGAGAUAGGCUGCACGUUACCGACCGUCCCCGACGCAAGUAGUAAUGGUGGUUGAGUCUCGGGGUCCCGAAUUCAAAUGCUAAUUGUUUCACAUUUUCAGCUAAAUUUAUUUCUAAAUGAAAUAAAUAAAAUGGAAAACAUAUUAUUUAUCCCUCUCCUUUCUUAUGUAUUCAUGACCACACGGUGAUAGUUUUUUUUUCAAAUGAUCAUUUUCAUGUUUUUUUUUUUUUUCUUUUAGUGUUAAAUCAAAUGCAAUAAUUUUAUAUCUGAUAAAAUACUAUGCAUAUAAUUUUUCUUAAUCUUUCAUUACUUAUACAUAACGCUAACGAAAGGCUUGGUGGUUGGUAUCCGAGAGCCAAGUUCGAAUCCUAGUUAAUUCACAUUUCUAGCUAAGUUUAUUUCUAAAUGAAAUAAAUGAAACGGGUAGCGUGCUACCUAUCUCUCAAACAAAAAAAAUAAAAAAUAAAAAAAAAUCAGUCUCUAUCCAAAAUAAUUGACAUAGUUUACAAAAUAAUUAUUUUACCCUUAUCCAUUAUAUCAUUACUUAUGCCUUUUAUUCAUAACUUCAAAAUCAGUCGCUAAGUUUUUUAUCAGUAAAUUUCAUUGUCACACAUACAUUACAUGAAUAAUUUAAAUUUAAAAUUUAAAACUUUAAAUCAAAUUCAAGAUCUGAAUUUUAAAUUUAAAUUCGAAUUCAAAAUUUAACUUUAAAAUUGUAAGUCGGUUUCAAAUCUAAAUUUGGAUUUGAAAUUUAAAUUCAAAGUCACAUUCUGAAUUUGAAUUUCAAAAUGAAAGUUUGAAAUUAAAUAUAAAUUUAACUCAAAAUCUAGAUUUGAAAGUAAAAUCAAGUACAAAAUCUCAAUUUGAAUUAGAAAUUAAAUUUGAAUUAAAAUUCCAAUCCAAAACAAAACUUUAAAUUUAAAAUUUAAGCCCAAAUUAAUUUUAAAUUUGGGCUAAUCUAAGAUAAAAAUCUAAAUUGAAAAUUGAAUUAAAAAAAAAAUCUAAGUGUAAACUUUGAAACUAUUUAGGAUAAAUUUGGCAUUUUAAAAUUCACUACUUUAAACUAGUCUCCAACUAAAUUCCGUGACAUGAGAAAACGGGAUUGACAUUUAUUAUAUAACUCGUUCCAUUUGCAGGGUCUAAGUGAUAUUUUUAGAAGCAGUUGAGAUAUUUUUAAGAUUUUGAGUGGUACCUACGAAAUUAUCCCUAUACGUACGUAUAUAGAUACGCUCUGUAUAUCGUAUUUUUUUGUUAAUAUUGUUAGCAAGAUUUUAUUCUAAUAAACUUUGCAUGUAUGUACAUACAAAUAUAACUAAUAUAUAUAUAUAUAUAUAUAUAUAUAUAUAUAUACACACAUAUAUAUACUUAAAAAUAUAAUAAUUAGCGCUCUUUUUUUUCCCCCAUUUUUUAUUUGCGACCUUCGAUUAGGGUGUAAAUGGUACCAUUCUUUUCUGAUCUGGUGUUCUACUUCAUAAGGAUUUUUAGGGUUUUUUGGAUUUCUUGGUUAUCUCCCACAAAAAUCGGAAGAAGAAGAAAAGGUAAAAUUUUUAUUCGAGAUGAUUAAUCUUGUUUUUUUCAUACACAAUCCUCAAUUUAUAUGUUUUACAAAUAUUAUGAAUAAUAAUAAUGUGAUGUUUAUAUUUUUAUUUAGGGAAAACUUUAAAUACCAUCUAUGUGGUUUUGUAUUUUCCCACUUUAUUACUCUGUAGUUUAAAGCGCAUUACUUUCGUAUUCUGUGAUUUUAAUUUUUUUCUUUUUAUUAUCUUCUUCAUUAAGUUUUUCAUUAAAUCAGUGACAAGGUUAAAAUUAAAAGAUACUAAAGUAAAAAUCUGAAGUUUUUUUGUAUAUGAUUUAAUGAAAAGUUAAUGAAGAGAUGAUGAAAAGAGAAAAAUAAAACCAUUGAGUCAUUCGGUCUAAAUGCUACAUGAAGAACAUAAGCCAGAUGACGGGAUGGGAAGAUGAUGGAACAGGGAGACCUAGGAUGUAGAAGAUCAUAACAAGUGAUUUGGCAGAUUUGGAUUCCUAUAUAUCCACUCAUGUGGUACUUCAUCAUACGAUUCAUAUAAGAUCCAUCUGUCUAGAUAUCAUCAUAUACAUCUAGAAGUACUAAAUUAAUACACUUUAAAAUAUAUAGUACUAAACUGAGAAAGUGUGAAACCACAUGGGUAGUAUUUAAAGUUGACCUUUUUAUUUAUUACAAAAUAUUUUAAUAUCUUAAAACAUUAAUAACAAUAUUUCACAUUGUUUUCAUAACGUUUUACAUUUGAAUUCAAGAAUUAAUUCAAAAUAUUGAACAUUUUCGAGACAUUUUUAAAGUAGAGAGUUAAAAAUUUAUGUAAUCUUUUGUGUAAUGGGAUAAUUAAGACAUCUGUGCAAGGAGAGUAUUUCUUGUGACAUAUAAGAUCGCGAGAAUAUCGCAAUAACAAAACAAAGUACUCUUACUACGGAAAACAUCACUAGAUAACUUGUUUUGUCAUCCAAACAGGCUCUUGCAGCCUAUUCUAAAUAUUUUCUUAUUUUCCCCAACUUGUUUCGUUAGUGUUACACAUCGCUAACAGAAUUUUAAACUUAAACUUUCGAGCUGAAUCAGUGACAAUGUCGGGAUCAGCAUCGCCCUUCACGCGAGAAGGAACAAGUGCCAAUAGACCUUGCCCGUCAGCCGCUUUAUGUGAAAAUCCUAAGUUGAUUCGUAUGCUGCGUAAUCCCAGUGUGAAUUUAGCUUGUAUUAGUGAUACUAGCGGUUCACCAGGAUCUGCAUUUAAUGCAGAGUCUUCGUCGGUACCGAUCUGCAAUGCCCAUGGCAGCGAUGUAGGUGGCGGGCCAGCCAAUGUGGCCCCUAAAGAGUCUGUAAAGAGGAGGCGCGGAAGGCCGCGGAAAUACGGAUCGGAUGGAACAGUAGCUUCCUUGUCAGCGAACAUGGUUUCAGCACAAGAGGCGACUGACACGCCUGCUCAAAGUCAGAAGCGAGGAAGAGGACGACCGCCCGGUUCAGGAAGAAAGCAGCGGUUAGCACUGCUUGGUGAGCAAACUAUUGCAGACUAGUUGCACCUCAGCAGCAACUCUUUCUGCUUUCUUCUUUCUUACUGUAAUUCGCGUUAUCUUGUUACUGAUUGUGAUUGACAGUACUUUUAAGUAUUGAUCUUUUCCUGCCAAUAUAGUUUCAGAUCCAAUAAUUUUAGUGUUUAAAUCGAUCUAGGAGCUGGUGGUAAAUAUGUUUGAGUUCGCAACCUAGUUGGGAGAGCCCAGGUGGGGUGUCUCUCCUUGCUUUUGCCGAGUUUAUCCAAUUUGAGCUUACUUCGGUUACUUUAUGCUCUGAAUCCUUGAGAGAUCAAAAUUUGUGCCAAGGAAGUUGAAUAUUGUUGUAGUGUUACAGUGAAUGUAUGUACAUUUCAAAUCAAACAAGACAUCAACGAGGCGUUCGCACAAGAAAGAAAACCAAAUGAUACAUCUUUCGCAUCUUCUCAAAAUGGCCUUUCUAGUUAUCUGAAGUAUCAGUGUGCUGUUUGUUUUAUUGCAAUCUCCACCAACAUCGAAUUCUUUAAGUAACUAUGUCGAUCGACUGUCUCCAUUGAGUAAUGCUCUUCUUCUACAGGAGAAUGGGUUGAAAGCUCAGCUGGAAUAGGCUUCACUCCACAUGUAAUCACAGUUCCAAAAGGAGAGGUAUGACUUGAUUUUUUUUUUUUCAAUAAAAAAAUUAUUUAUUUGUUUUUGGGCUUGAAUACCAAGAUAAGUUCAUCUUGAUCUUAGAUUUCUCUAAAUCCCUUCCCCAUUAGCAUUACAAACCAAGUGCAUUAGCAGCUUCUCUAGUUACCAAGUUUCCAAAUCUAAAUCAUCUGUAUUUGUAUUGUAAUAUAUAAUUACACAGGGUGAGAUUAUACAUCUGUACCUAUACACCUUUAAAUGGUUUCAGCUUAUAAUUCAGUGAAAAGAUCUUAAAUAUUCUUACCAAUCUUAUUGUUUCCAUAAUUCCAAUGCAUUGAACAAGUGCUGGAUAGUGAGUUCGCAUUUUCUCUUUCAACAAGGUGGAAAUGUUUACUCAAUUUUGUUUUUGAUUAGGAGAAUUUUGAAUCAGCACUAGUUUUCGACAGUGUCGCAGAAAGGCAAAGCACAGGCAUAUAUCAUUGUAUAAAACAAUGGCUCUUUUCUUUUCCUGCAAUAUGGUGAUAAUUUGCAGAAUUGUGAUUUUAUCACGCAGGAUAUUGCAUUGAAGAUAUCGCAAUUCUCACAACAGAGUCGUAGAGCUAUCUUUGUUAUGUCAGCGAGUGGUUCCGUCGCCGAAGCGACUCUCCAGUGCCGAGAAGCCCCUAAUCACGCUGCAACUUACGAGGUUUGAUUUCAUCUGUUGUUAUCCUAUAUUUUUCAAUCCAACUUUUACGUUGUGCCAAACCGCCAACUAUGACUUAUCCCUGGUAUUAAUUUGUUUCAGAAAUGUGUUGCUUGACAUGUGCCCAGAUGGUUGUUUUUUUGAAGAACCUUAGUUGUUUUGUUUCCUUUUAACGUCGCAUUAUUUACAUUUACUAUAUUUAACCUCACACCUAGAUGUUGGAGUGUUCAGAGAAUGGAAGCAGAAAAUUUCUGUCAGAAUUACAGAAAACAUAGUCAAAUUGCAGAAGGAAUUUUCUGGAUGAAUUGAUUCGCAAGAUACAUAAUAAUGUAGAUAAACAUAAACAUGCUUGUAUAUUUGUCAGUUUCUUCAUAAGAACUUGUUCUAAUAGCAUUUUUGCAGGGUCCUUUCGACAUACUUUUUUUAUCAGGCUCCUAUUUAUCGACAGAGGAAUCGCAAGCUACGACGGGGAGUUUAAGCAUUUUUCUCACCUAUUCUAAUGGUAUGUUGCUCGGCGGUCCUGUUCGUGGACCAAUAAUAGCUGCGGCCCCUGUUCAGGUAGAUGUUAAGCCCUACACUUUGAGAUAUUGCACAAUACUCGAUGUUUGUUAUAUUUUUCGUUGACUUAAAUGGGCCAGUAUUCUGCCCUGUGACGGGAGGCCAUGUUGAGUCGAGUCAUAUUCGAAAUGGUGUGAGGCUUGGUCGAUCGAGUCAUAUUCGAAGUAGCCUGAGGCUGGUUGGGCCAAGUCACAAUCAAGAUCCGUGGGCGCUAUAUCUGUACACUUUAAGUGAAUUGGUUGUGUAUUUCUAACCUUUUGGAAUUAAUGACUAGCGCAACGAUUCGACAAGUGGUAUCAGAGUCAGAGGUCACGGGUUCGAUUCUCGUUUGCUGUAAAUAUGUGCAGGUGCUGGAGAGGAGAUUGUUGGCUUAAAUGGGCCAGCAUCCUGCCUUGUGACAGGAGGCCAUGUUGGGCCGAGUUAUAUUCGAAAUGGCGUGAGACUGGGUGGGUCGAGCCAUGUUUGAAGUGGCGUCAGGUUGAUUAGGCCAAGUCACAAUCGAGAUUCGUGGGCGCUGUAUCAUUACGCUUUAAAUAAAUUGGUUGUGUAUUUCUAACAGCUCGAGCUUUUAGGAUUAAUGGUUAGCGCCAACGAUCUGACAUUUUCAUGUUCUUACAUGUGUAGAGAACCGAAUGAACAAAAACUAAUCCUCGGUCGCAUAUUCAUAGUUUUUCCUUGCAGUAGCAUAAGAUCAAGAGUUUGUGACUAAACAUAUUACUUAAUCCUUGUAGCUUAUUGUUGGAAGCUUCAUUUAUGGCGGAACGAGGAUGAAGGAGAAAGGAAAAGGCAAGCAGGCAGCAGGUUCUGAGUUUGUGGGAGACAGUUCAAGAACAGCAUUCAGUACAGUUCCUCCUAAAAAUUUUGCUCAUUCAAGAGAGGGCUGGUCUAAUCUUAAGCACACUGGUAACAUUGGAAUCAACUCGACUCGCGGAUAGAGAUCUUCAGAUUUUGGCAGACAUUUUCAUAUCCCCACCUGAUGCUGCUGAUGCAGAACUGGCAUGAACCAGUGUUGAUUGGAUUAAAUCAUCACUUUUUAAUUUAAUUAGAUUAGUGGAGCAUAUCUUUCAGUUAGUUCAAUGAGAAUUUUUUUUUUUUUUAGUUGGUCGUAUAGGAUAAGACCAAACCCGAAGUUGGUGAUGUGUAUCUAAAGUUGAUGGUAGUAUAAAUAAGAUGUAGACCUUCGUUGUAUGGAGAAGACGAUGAUGUUAAUAAAUUAAUAAAGAUGAUUCAGAGCUUUGGUGCAGGAGCAAUCUUUUUCCUUCGCGAAUGCGUCGUUCUGAAGUGAGUCCAGUUCCGAUGUGAGUUCGGUUCAAAAGUGAGUGCUAAUUUUCUUUUCUAAUUUUUUUUCUAUUUUUGUUGAAUUUUUCUAUUUUCUUUAAUUUUUUUAAUUACGAAAAUUUCUAAAAAAUGUAUUUAAAAAACUUUCAAAUUUUCAAAAAGCUUUCAAAAUCAUAAAUUAUAUUUUGGAGUCCUCUAAAAACGUAGGACCCUAAUCCCGUCCUACAUCAGCUUUGGUAUCAAAGCUUUGACGAUUUUAUUUCGUCAAAAGUUUUGAGCUUACAGAAGAAAAUAAGAUAAAAAUUUUAAAAAAAAGUGAGUAAAAGUAUUAUAAAAAAAAGAGUGGAGUGACAAAAAAAAAAAAAGGUUGAAAGAAAAGUGUCUGGGAAAAAAAAUGGAGAUGGUGUAAAAGAAAAAAAAAAAAGAAAAAAAGAAAAAAAGGGGAAAAAUAUCAUGAAUGUAAAAAAAUGUCUUAAAUUUUUUUUUCAAAAGUAUGGUAGAAGAAAAGGAAUUCAUAUUGAGUUAUUGAAAAAAAUAUGUGAGAUGACAAGAAUCAAGUUUGAUGAAUGGUUGUACGAUCAGAGGUCAUAUUUUGAGAGGAAAAAAAAUGAUAUUCGAAUGGAAACACUAGAUGACUUGAGAUGGUGGUAUAGACAAAACCAAAUAUCACAUAAUAUUUUUAGAGGAAGAAGAUUGAAGGUUGAAAGAUAUUGAAAAUGGUGCUAAAAUUGCUGAAGAUAAUUUUCGAUGAAUGGGUAAGGUCAGAUAUGAGUAUCAAUUAAUCCAACUGAAAGUUCAACUGGAGAACCUAAUUCUCAACAGAGUACGCCACCUAUAGCACAGUUGGGAGUCGACAAUUCUGAUUCGGUUCCAUCUAUACCAUCUGAUUGCAAAAAAGUUCUAGAUUUGAUUGAGUUAUUCUUGUUGCCCAAGCAAUAUGAGUUCACUACACUAGAGCUUCAGAUUGCAUCGAAAGCAUCUUUCUUAUUGGCAUCAAACCUAACAAAAUCUCAUGAAUUUAUCGGUUAUUCUUCCUACUUCAAUACCAAACCAAAAACUCAAAUGAUACAAGCGGUUCGACAUGCAAGCAUUAGACUGCAUCACUUUAUUCUGUAUGCUUAGUUGUUUUCUAUCUUCUUACAAAUCCAAUUAAUCUCGAGAACGAGAUCCUGCGCAGCGGAAGCGAAUGAUGCAGAAUAGAUAUAAACCAAUGUUGAUCGGAUUAAAUCGAUUUAGUUCAUCGUUUUUUAACUUAAAGAUUAGAUUAGUUUAGCAUAUCUUUCCGUUAGUUAAAUAAGAAUUAUUGUUUAGUUAAUCUUUAAAUAAGAUUGUUUUAGUUGGUCAUAUGGGAUAAGAUCAGAUCCGAAGUUGAUUAUGUGUAUCUAAGACUAAUGAUAGUAUAAAUAAGAUGUAGAUCUUUAUUGUCCAAAAAAUUAAUGAAGAUAAUUCGGAGCUUUGGCGCACAAGCAAAUCUUUUUUCUUUUGCAAAUGCGUCGUCCUAUAGUGAGUCGAGUCCCGAAGUGUCCCGAAGUGAGUUCUGUUCUAUAGUGAGUCAUGAUUAUCUUUUGCAAAUGCGUCGUCCUAUAGUGAGUCGAGUCCCGAAGUGUCCCGAAGUGAGUUAUGUUCUAUAGCGAGUCAUGAUUAUCUUUUCUAUUUUUUUUUCUUUUUUUAUUUUAUUUAAAUUUUUUUAAUUACAAAAAAUUCUAAAAAAGUAUUUCAAAAACUUUCAAAUUUUUAAAAAAUUUUUAAAUUCAUAAAUUAUAUUUUUGAGCCCUCUAAAAAUGUAGGAUCCUAAUUCCAUCCUACAUCAGAUGCAAACCGAGGGGUUACUAAAUCAAAAUUUUCAAUUUCAUCACCACCUCAGGUGAAGCAUGUGAUAGAAAGAAUUAUUAGGGUAGCACAGUAUACACGAUGUAGCCUUCAAUUUUUCUCAGUAGUUUUGUGACUAUGUUGACACAUAUAUUUAUAAUUCUUUUUUUUCCUUUGCUUGGAUAUAAGCUAAUUUUAUACAUGAGUAAUACUAUAUACCUACAAACAAAUUUUACUGAUGCUUUACAGCAAAAUUGGUGAACAAUUAUAAAUCACAAGAAGGCAAGCAUGAUUUAUAAUUUCAAAGUUGAAAUCCAAUCAUUAACUUGUAGAGUUUGUAAGAUAUUAUACGAUUUAUUUGUAAGCAAACAUUUUCCUUUUAUACAUACAAGAGUUGAACAGAAUUUGGAUGCAGAAAGUCAUCAGUGCAGUGCACAGCUGAACAUUCUAAAGUCUAACAUCAAGUACUCAUCUAAUCUUGCUGCACUGCUGAAAAUAAAAUGAACAUGCCACAAAAUUUGUUCCUUUCGCUACCUCUAGUGGAAGCAAUUCAUCAUAUCACCUCACCACAUUAAGCAUCACAUCUUUUAAGGUGUUGGAAACUAGAAGACCCACUCACCCACAGACAAGCAGAUGCAAGCUACAAUGUUGAUAUAGAACAGCUUAAAAGCAACAAAAUUAGGUAAAGAUGAACUCUGCAUUUUAAACACUAACAUCCAAUACACAACCAUGACAACUGAUUGCAAAGCAAACAAAGCAUACAGUAAACAAACAUCACGAUCACUACAUUUAUUCUCGACAAAACAGAAAAGAGUGUACAAUUAUACUUCUCAACACAGUCUUAUUGCAGAUAUAUUAAGGCCAAAUGGACAGACCGCAACACCUGGUUGAGAGUGCUUACGAAAUUCCAAGCAGCUUCUUGAUGUCUUUCUGCAAGCGGACACAAAAGCGUUUUUAACAGUCUUAUCACUCAGAAGUGAAGCUGAAAACAAUGUCGGACUAAACUAAUUUUACCUCAAUGCUCAGUGGGGAGGUGGUUGGGGCAUAGCGGUCAACGACGUUGCCGUCCUUGUCCACCAAGAACUUGGAGAAGUUCCACUUUAUGCUGUUUCCAAAGAGACUGCCUUUGCUGGACUUGAGAAACUUGUAUAGAGGGGCCGUAUUGUCCCCAUUCACAUCAACCUGAGCCAAAAAUAGCAAAACACAAAAAAAGGUACAAGUUAAAGGGCAUUGUUGAUCUCAUAAGCAUGAUAAACAAACUAGUAUUAACUAGUAGAUAUGAUUUGAUGCCAUAUGCUGAAGAGUAAGAAGCUAUUAAGGGCCAUGUUGUGUUUUGUGUGGACAAAGUUUCACAUCUCCCCCUUGAACUCGGCAGCUUCAGGCUUAAACAUUAAACAGUUGCAAAAUGGUUUAUUUCGUAGUACAACUCAACAGCUUUCAGAUAUCAAAAGAUCUACAAGUUUCUGGACCAGCACUGAAACUUAAUUAUACGUGUGAAGCGCCUCAUAGAUUGGAAAACACAAACACAUACCCAUGCAAACAUACAAGAAAGUGAAGGAGAAGCAAUGAAGAUAGCAGGGAGAAGCCACGACUAUCAACAUAUAAGCAUCCUUUUUUUGCCCAGAUGAUUUGUAGUAGUAUAUUUUUUCAUCUUAUGAAAUAGCUUAUUUAAGUGUAACAAUGACAUAUGACAUGACCAAUGCAAUGAAACUCGAUAGUUUGAUUAGAGAUUACCUUGUCGAAUAUUGGGUAUUCAGCCUUAAAGCGAGUGCAAGCAAAUUCGACAAUCUCCUCAUUGCUUCCAGGUUCUUGUCCACCGAACUGAUUGCACGGAAAUGCUAGAAUCUCAAAUCCUGCAUCAUGCAUUGUACUACGUAAAUUGAAAAUAAUAAUGAGUUCGACAGAAAAUCGAUGUGAAACAAAAAAUGACACCAUUAGAAGUGAUACAUUCUAUGAUUACUCAAUUUGAAAGUACAUACACAGUCUUAAGUACAAACCUUGUACUCAUACGAACUAACAAAGAGUAACAGCUCCUAAAUAAUUAGUUCAAAAGAGAAAUUAAGGAUAAUACAGCUCUAACAUAUGAUGUAAAUGUUCCAAGACCUACAAGAAUGUGAGGACAAAUGCAUGAUGUAUAAAUCAUGAGAGAAGAACUAGAAGAACAAAUUAGAUUCAAACAAAAACUAGAAAAGAGAAGGCGACAAAUUGAUGUAUACCCUGAUCCUUGUACUUCUCAUACAACUGACUCAGCUCCGUAUAGUUCGAAUUGGUCAAUCCACUGAAACAAGAAUUUACAGAUGAGUCAGAACAUGAUAACAUAUGCAUCUACAAUAAGUUUAAAAACAAUAAUAAUAAGUUAUAAAAACAGAAAGAAAAACUUCAAUAAGCUGGCCCAAGUUAGGUUAAAAGCACCGGCUUUCAUAUUUUGGAAGGCUCAAAAAAUCCAAAAGUGCUUUUAAUCUUUCUGUCUUCCAAUGCUAUAAAAUUAUGUGAGAACCUCUACCAGAAAAGCAAGUAGCUACAUACAUUCUGCAGUUCCCAUCAUAAUCACAGUAUUAGAGGAAAGAUUGAAAGCACUUUAUAAAAAAAAAAAAAAUUUGGCCACAAUAAGAUCCCAAACUAAGCCUAAGAAAGUUAAUAUGGAAUGUUUUUAUAUCCAAAUUAUGCAAGAAAAAAAAAAAAAAGCAAAAUAAGAAAAAGGUGUACCAUUGUGAUGCAACAUUCACAAUCAACAGAACCUUCCCCUUGUAAAUGCUGAGGUCCACAUCAUUUCCUCUGGCAUCCUGCAAGAAAACUAUUACUCAUCACAUCCUCGCAAAUAAGGAAUUGUAUAACUUCAAAAAACAUAAUUUUUUCCCACCCGAAAAUAAAAAAAUUCCCUACCCUAAUUUUCCAAAGAUGACAAAUUUAGCAUAUAAAUAUCAAAAUCUUGCCGAAUAAUAACCAGAUCACAGAAAAGCACCUCAAACCUAGAAAGGAAGAACGAGAGCAUCGAUUCGAAUCAAAUCGAGCAACAUAUCACCAACAAGAUCCGCUCUUUUCAAAUACCCCAAUCACCAAAUCACCCAGAAACCAUCGAAUCGAAUUAACCACGAAAACAGAACAAAUCCACGGCGACCGAGGAGCAAGAGGGAGAGGAACCAACCUUGACGGUGAAAUCGUGGACCGAGGUCGCGGACGCGCUGGCCAUGGAGGACGCGAAGCGAACUGGGCGAAGAGAAGGGCCUCUCGAACGGAUCAAAAGCGCUUUUGGGGAACGCAAAGGGGAAAAGGAGGAGGGGGUUUUGGGGAGAUGGAGGAGAGAUGCGGAGGAGAUGCUUCUUCGUAGUAUUAAACUCCCGAGAAAGCGAGAGGAGCCGCGAGAGAGGGCGAUGCGAGGAGAGUAGAGCAUACGCCUUUUGUGGAAUUAGGGCCCUCGAAUUCGUUAUUUAUAGAUUGAAAAAAAAAAAAAAAAAANUUUUUUGAGUCGGUGUCAAGUGUGAACGGAGUAAAGGGAAAAUGAUCUGAAGAGGCAACGGGGAUUUGACUUUUUUGUAACGUUGUGAUAUUGUUCGCGUGGAUAACUCACGACCUACAAUUUUACCAAAAUUAAUUUACGCGAUCUUGCGAGAGUUCUAGUUCUAGCAUUAACCCAUCAAUUUUUAUUUUAUUUUUUUUAAAUUAUUAGCAGAUGUCUUGAGCCACUCACGUAGUGCUGACGUAGUGCUUGCGUGACAGAAAUAAAAUUAAUUUUAUAAUUAUAAAUUUUAUAAAAUUAUUUUUUUAAAAAAAAUUAUAAGAGAGGGCUAAAUGCAAAAAAAAAUUUGAAAAAAUACACUACAAUUGUGUGAUAACAACAGUCACUAGCACAGUUAGAUAAUAUUUUAAUACUGAGAUUCCAAAUUUAAAAAUUAAUUGUUUAAUAUUUUUAAUGGUAAAAAUAAAUAAAGUGAAAAUUUUACAAUUUUUUUUUAAAAAAUAUUAUGAAUGGUAUAAAAGACAUUUAUAGCUUCAAAAAUCAGGACCAACUAGGUUUUGAACCCAGAUUGAAGGUUUACAAUCUCAUUAAUAAUAAUAAAAAAAAAAAACUAUAAAGCAUCGGUAGUUAUCAAUAAAUAACUCAUUUCAACACUCGAAUAGAAUAUUAAUUUGGAUAUAUUUAAGCAAGACUUAACUAAUUAAGGUCAUGUUUAGACAUCGGAUUUAGUUAUUCAAUAAUAAAUUAUUUAAUAUAAAAAUAUUUUUAUUUGAUUAGAAAUUACAAGUUUGAUUUUUUUACAUUUUGAAAGAUUUUUCUUUGAGAGAGAAAAGUGGCAUACUUUUCCAGCUUCACUUAUAUUUUUUAAAAUAUGACUUAACUAAAAACAUAUAUAAAGCAAUCAGACUUCACACCUGAGGUCUCUGAUGGCAACUAUCAAGCUCUGUCACCUGCAUUAGAAAUAGUUGGUACUUUUUAAAAGAUCUUGGCAUUUAUAAUUUUAUAGAAUAAUAUAUUUAACUUAGAGGUGAUUUAUCUUAUAUCAAAAAACUAAUCUAUAAGUGAAAUAUGUUACUCCUUUAAAACACUUGGUCAUACAUUUUAUCUACUAAAUAUUAUAGAUAUUGAAUAAAAUAUUUAUGUAUCGAAAAUAGAACGUAAGUCACGAAUGAUGUUCGGUUUUGAUCGUUCGGUUUUUUUUUUUUUUUUUUUUUUAACUCUUUGUCUUGAGGCCCUGAUUAAUUGCCUCACCUUUGUAGCCGAAUUCAUAUCUUCAAUGAAUGAAGCAGAUAGCGUGCUAUCUAUUCUAAAAAAAAAAACAGUCACGAAUGACGUAAUAAAAUAAAGUGGUUGCUUAAGAUCAGAUCUUACAUAACGGCCACAGCAAAUCAUGCAAUGUGAACGCAGUGCAGGAACAGUUUUCUGAAGCAGGUAGAGCCAAGUAGUGCUAAUGAAAUCGACCUGACUCAAAACUCCACCACACAUAAGAAGUGCAAAAAUACCUGCGAGCGUCGUCUCUCACGAAAUGGAUCUUCCCAAGAAGAUGGUCUACGAAAGGAAGAAGCUUCCAGAACGGACAACAGUCCUCCCAGAAGGUUCCAGUAAGAAUCCACAGGGAACUUUGGCAUUCAGAUUGAAUGAUUAAUUCAACAGUGAGAAUGUAUGCGUAAAUAUGUACGCCACAUUUGUUUAGGAGUGAGCACUAGUAUCAUUGCUUAACUAACCAAUGAUAAGUAUAUAUGGUAAUGGUAAUGAAUAACCAUUAAGUUAGAAUAGUUUUGGUCUUUUUUUUUUGAGAGAGAGAGAGAUAGGUAGCAGCAUACUGUCCGCUUCGUUUAUUUCAUUUAAAAUAAAACUUAGCUCGAAAUAUGAAUCAACUAGGAUUCGAAUUUAGGUCUCGGGUACCAACGACCAAGCCCUUUGUCUUGCUCUAGAUAGGGACAGUCGGUGAAUAGUUUUGGUCUUAAGCAUUCAAUUAAUGGAAGCUUUUAUAUUGUAGUAACAUUAUUAAUUAGUGAAACUAAUUAUCAAAAUUGACUAUUCAUAACCCCGAAAAUUAUGCUUAACAAAUCAGCCACUGCUCACAUGCAUAUAGUUAUGAGUUUAUUUUUUUAUUUGAGAGAAAAAUAAUAUACUAUCAAUUUUAUUUCUUUUAAAAAAAAUUAAAUUUAGCUAGAAAUACCUAUUAAGCAGUUAGACUUUGGAUUUCUUUUAAAUAUUGAAUUUCAACAAUCAAGCCAUUUAUUAACCCCGUUAGAUAGCAAAUCAGCUUCUCUAUUGUUGUUUAUGUAGCAAGCAAACCACGGUCACAUAAAUAUAAUUUCAAAUGCUUUGGUAGAGAUCAGAACACCAAACACAGCCCAUACUGUUUGGUGUAUCGAUCACCAUACUACAACAACUGCACAACAAAAUGCCCCCACGCACAGCAACCACCAAAACCAAAAACAAGUUAAAGCACAAACAAACACCCAACACAAUACAACUUAAACCUGUAUGAUCACCAAAUCCACACACACAGACACAACAAUUCCGUUUAUCAUAGUAAGCAGUCGGUCCUCGCCGGCAAUCGGCGGAAAAAGUUCAUGGGCACGGCCGGCAGCCGGUUCCGGAACCGCGGGUGCCUCAUGCAGUAGAAGCCGGGGAGCAGCGCCACCACGGGGAACGGCGUCACGUAGAGCACCAGCGCAGCACAGAGGCAGAAGAGCAGGAACACGGCGGUCGCGCGCGGGUCCCUCCAGCUGACCAGCGCCUGGCACCGCUCGCCCUGCGUUGCGACGUCCCCCACGAUCGUCUGUAUCCUCCCCGCCACGCUCCGCAGCCGGUCGUACCUCAUCCGCACGAUCUCCGGGCUGCGGCUGGUCGGGAAGGUGUCGAACUCCUCGUCGAGCUCGUCCGGGUGCGCGACGUCGGCGUGCGAUAUCCGCGUGUUCAUGUGCGGCGGGUGGCGCGGCCGGCGGCGGUAGUUCCACAGGCCGAUCAGGAAGAGGUAGAGGAAGAAGGUCGGGAGGAUGAGCUCCGGGAAGCAGACCAGCAUGACGAACAGAAGGUGCACCAGAACGGUCGUCACCGGAUUCGUCCAGCAGCAGACGUCGGCGAACCACUUGGCGACCGCGAACACGCCGGAGAAGACCGACAUGAGCCGGAAGAAGUUGGCCUUGCUCCGCCGCAUGCUCCAGAGGUGCGCGUGCGCGUCCGACAUGUGCUCGACCACCUCCCGGCGGAGCGGCGGCUCCAUCCGGCUCAGCCGCAGCGCCACGAUCUGCACCGCCUGGUGGCGCAGCACCUCCUGCUGCACCAUCGACAGCGGGCGCACGUAGUGCAUCCGCGGCAGCAGCGGGCGCGAGUACGCGUACAGCGUGUCGGAGAAGGACGUCGCGGAGAAGCGGAUCGCGAGGUGGAGCUCGCCCAUCUUCUUGACGCCGGAGUUGUGGAGGACGAGGAGCGGGUAGGAGUGCGUGUACACGCGGCCGGUCUCGAGGGUCGAGAGCCGGAUCCGCACCUUCCCGACGAUCGCGUCCCUGACGGCCUCCGCGCCGGCCGGCCGCCUCUCGAGCUGGCAGUUGUCGAAGACGCCGACGGUGAGGACGGUGGCGUGGUCGUGGACGUCCCACGUGUACUGCUCGUGGAACCGCGGCGAGAGCCGGUCGACGACGGUGCGCGUCCGGACCCACUUCUGGCCGUACUUGGCGACGCAGUAGGGGUCGCAGGUGCCCCUGCCGUCCCGCGUCCUCAUCGGGGUGAGGCCGUCGGCGUUCAGGACGCCCAGCUCGAGCAGCCCGAUCGGAUCCCUCCACAGGUGCUUCGCCGUCGGGCGGAGAUCGCUGCUGUAGUGCGUCGACUCGCUCAGCACGUGGUAGCCGCCCUCGAGGCAGAGCCGGAGGUGGAGCUUGCUGGAGAACUUCUCCUCCUUGAUCGCCUCCGCGCCGCCGCCGUGCCUCUGCAGGCCGAACCACCUCGACGCGACCUCCCGCUCGUCGAACCGCCGCUCCAGCUGCGCCAGCGGCACGCGGCAGUGGCCGAUCACCUCCUCCUUGUUCGGCCCCACGCGGUCCUCCACCGACAGGAUCAGCUCCUCCUCGAAGGGCUCCGCCGCCACGAACAGGUGAUCCUCGUCCCACCGGUAGUACGGCGGCGUCCGGCACGGCGCCACCCGCGUCUUCAGCACCUGGCUCCCCAGCUUCGCCCGGACGAACACCUCGCCCACCCGGCUGCGGUCCGACAGGAACACGUCCUGCGCCUCCACGACGUGCACCCGGACGUACCACAGCCGCGGCGCGUGGUAGACCUUCCCCCGGAUGUGGACGCUCGCGAGGAUCGGAUCGACCGGAGCGGAGUCGGCGUGCAGCGCGUUCGGGAAGCACUCGUCGGCCUGCGUCCCGAUCCACACCGCCAGCAUCAGCUCGCCCUUGAUCCUCUCCCCCCUGACGUUCUCCAGCCGGUACCACUCCGGAGCCAGCGGGCUGUCCGGCGGGACGCGCAUCGGCACCUCGUUCAGGUCGAAGUGCACCCGGCCCACGACGCCGUCCUUCGCGAGCGACUUAUCCUUGAGCACCACCUCCACCAGCGACGACUGCACGCUCUCCCGCGAGAACGCGAACACCUCGUCCCACUCCGGGUUGUGCUUCUUCUCGAAGUGCUUCGUCGUCCCCCGGUAGUUCCCGAGCCGCACCUCCACGAACGGGUCGAUGCUCCCCGCGACGUCGCGCGGGGGGAGCUCCCGGCCCUUCACGACGCGGACGAAGAGGUAGUGCAUCCGCUCCACGAGGUCGUAGGUCCCGGCCGUCCGGCCGCCGGGGAAGACCCGCCCCCCGAAGGCGCGGCCGGCGCCGAGCGGAGGGUUGGUUUCCUUCAGCUGGAAGUCGAACGGCUGCCGGAACGAAGCCGACGGGAACGCCGGCACCGACACGGCGCGGAGCGGCUCCGGCUUCAUCUCUUUCACCGCAAACGUCAACGCCGGUUCCGCCGCCACUUGCUCUCUGGAGAGGUGGAGGAAGCUGUUAUUACGAGCAACGGUCUCUGUUUUGUCCGCAAGUGAUGGAGGGUCCUGAUUAAAAGCAGCGCCGGGCUGGAUCAGAGGAUCAACGGCUGGGAUUGAAGAGUUAGUUAAGUACACUUUGAGGCCGAGCUCCCCCCGGGCGCGGGAGAAGAGGGAGCGCUUCUCCAAGGGGUAGUAAAGAGUGGCGGCGUCGGCGAAGGAAACGAAGGAGGUGCUGGAGAUGCAGGCCUUGCCGAGGAGGGACCUGGAGCCGGUGGACCGGUUGAGGUGGAAGACGAGGGCGUGGAGGCGGAGCUCGGGGAGGGACGAGGGGUCGGAGACACGGAAGCGAAAGGCCUCGUUCCAGACCGGGCUCAGGUCGUAGUCCUUUACGGUGGUGCGGGACUGCUGGGAGUCGAAGUGGAGCUCCGCGAAGGCGUUGGCGGUGCCGUCNAGACGAGGGCGUCGAGGCGGAGCUCGGGGAGGGACGAGGGGUCGGAGGAGACGCGGAAGCGAAAGGCCUCGUUCCAGACCGGGCUCAGGUCGCGGUCCUUUACGGUGGUGCGGGACUGCUGGGAGUCGAAGUGGAGCUCCGCGAAGGCGUUGGCGGUGCCGUCGCCGUCUCGGGGCGGGGCAAGUUCGCGGGCGCUGACGACUUCGACCCCCAGUGUGAGAUUGCUGCUCAUUCUUGUAGUGGAGGCUGGAGCAGGGGUGGGUGGAGGGUAGACGAGGGAGUUCAACUACUGAGCGCUCAAUCUGAUCAAAAUGGAUUGAGAUAUAUGUAUAUAUAAAAAGUGAUAGAAGAUACGGCAGAAUCCAAACAUAUUAGCAGUUAGAAAUCGGAGUCAGCAUGCAUUAGGUAUAAUCUAGUUAAGUACAAUUGUAGAUCGUUUGGUUUCUUAUUAGAUCGAAUUUUGAUGUAGCAGUUCUAAGUUCACGUACUUUUUACAUCCGUAUCUUGCCUCACCAGUCAAUUUUACGUGUCUUUCGUAUUUAUCACGGAUGUGAUCAGAGUGACUAAGUGUAUUCUAUCAAAUAGAUUUUUUAAAAUGACAUGGAAUAUAAAAUAUUCUUACUAUAGGUUUUAAAAUACAUGUGACAUUUGCGAAGUGCGUAUAUAAAUUAAUCAAAAUUUUUCAUAUAUAUAUAUAUGCCAACACAUUAACGACCCCAUAACAGUAGCAUUUUAGAAGAUCGGUACCUGCAUUCAUUAAUUAAGGAGAUUGAUUUAGUAAAAAAUUUUCAAGGUAAGCAGAAUUUGAAUAUGAUGUUGAAAUUAAAAAGAGUCCUAUUGAAUAUGAAACUUGAACAUAAUUUUUCCUAUAAAGUAAACCCUCUACAGCAGCAUCAGAGCCUACGAGGUAGUCAAGUUGCAGAAGAUAGGAAAAUGAAAGGGAAUGUAGUUCAUGAAAUUGAUGAUAAAAUUGCUGUCAUAGCACACAGCUAUCAUGCAUACAAUCUGAUUGUGGUCCAAAAUUUGAAACAAUAAUAUAUUUCCUGUUAAACAGUAAGCAACAUCAGUACUCUUCCUACCCUCUCUCUAUCUGCAACAGUUAGUAUCUUCACAAAAUCUUAGUUUCUGAUUAAAUGACUGACAGCUAAGUUCAACUUACUAAUGACUUAUCUGUUGGGGUCCACAGAAAAGGAAAAACACUUUCAAGAAUGUCUGGAGAAGAAGUUUGUGCAAUUUGUUCUGACGGGCGCAAAACCGUUAUCCUGAUACAGGCCACGCUACUCGUUUCAACUUUCGUCUGUUCAAUUAGAUCAUGCGCACUUUUGUCGGAUCUAAUUACUACACUUGUAAAUAUUCUGCAGGCUCAAAAUAAUCAUAUACAUUUCCAACUUCUUUAGGCUACCAUAUCAAGUUUGGCCUAGUGUAAAAUCACGAACUAAAUCAGCAAAAACCGGAGCUGAACAUUUGUUUGCUGCAAAAUAUUAUUAGUAGUGUUGUCAUUUGGAGUCUUUUAGAUGAGAUAUAGGACAGCAAUUGUGUGUAAAAGCAAUGAACUUGGUGUUAUGUACAACACAUUCCAUUAAAUUUAGGCCUUAGAGGAAGCACAUGAUUCACUCUUUAAAAUUUACUCUUAGAGCUUAAGAUAAUGUGACUAGGGACCACGAAGAUGGAGCUAGGAUUGAAAAUGCAGGGCCUACACUUUGUGGAUGCUAUAUUCCUCUUGAUCAGGACAACCAAUUGGGAUCAGAGAACAGGGAAUAUGGAAAGCAAAACAUACUUAUGAAUGUGCAUUCAAAAAUGAUAAAUACAGGAUUAAUGGCUAAUCCUUCUAUCCCUCUUUACAUAAUAAAGUUGGUUAAGGAAAAUUACGCUUAUUCCCACACGUUUCUCUUGCGCUUACCGUCUAUUUAGUUCAGUUUCAGAAACAGCUUUUCUGUUUGAUACAUACUAGCCAGACAUUUGACAGAUAAAAAAAAGUCUAGAACUUUUACUGUGAGGAGUUCUGGAACCUUCGCUGAAUUGAGCUUUUCGACCCUAUAAACAAAAAGUCUUAUUUAAAACUGUUGCCUUUAGUGCGUAAUUGCUUAAGAAUAGUGUAAAUUUCUCACAAAUAGCAUACCAAGCUCUCAAUUCCAGUACUUCACAACCUACUCCACUAACCAUAAUAUAGCAUCAUCAUGCUUUUGGAGAGAAAAUAUAGCAAGCUAUCUGGUUCGUUCAUUUUUAAGAAAUAUACAAGACAACUAGGCUUCUAACUUAGAUUGCGGGUACCAACUAUCAAGCAGUUAGCUGAUUGUACUAAGUAUGAUCGGUAUUGAAUUUGGAAUCAUACUCAAUUCCUUUUGUAACCGUUAUAAACAAAAUGUGCUGAAAAUCAUCCUCAUCAAUUUUAUUCUUUCCAGAGAAAUGUAGUGAAGCCAUCCACUUCAAUUGAUUUUUUAGAAAUGAACUCAGUUAGAAAUAUAACGCUAAUAAACUUCGAACUUAGAACUUCGAGUAACAAAUAUCAAGCCCUUAGCCAACUGCGCAAUGCACGGUCAGUAUCAGCAUCAUCAUAUUAGGCAUGUACUAAUAAGUCUUUUCUCCUAUAACUGAUCCACAACAAACCACUCUUAAUUAACACAAAUUAUUUAAAAAGGAAAAGGAAAAGGGAAAGAGAACAAAAUAUAUAGCCAACAUUAAUAGAAGGGAGAAUCGAAUCCUUCACCUUUGCCAAUUAGAACUUCUUUUUUUUUGAGAAAAAGAUAGCGCGCUACCCGCUUCAUUCAUUCAGUAAGUGAAUUAAGCUACAUGGGUGAGGCAGCAAGGCCUCGACGAAAGGCGGAAAAAAAAAAAAAAAAGAAAAAAAAAGAAGGAGACCAAUUAGAACUUCUUCAGAGAAAGAAGCUGCAAUGAACAGCGACAGAGAAUAAGAAAAAUGAAGGAAAAAAAAAAGAAAAAGAGAGAGAGUGAAGAGGAGAAAUAAUGUGGAGAGCAAUGAGAUUAAGUAAAUAAUUAAAUAAAAAUACAAAUAUUUAUAUCAAGGAGACCAAAGGUCACUUUUCUUUUUUGUUCAGGUACAACUUCUUCUUUUUUUAUUCUUUUUCAAAUUUUUCGAUGACUUUGUUUUCAAACGCAACGGUCUACUGCUUUCCAUAUUUUAUUACCGCCUAAUUCAUAUUUUUAUGUCAAUUACAACCGUCCGAUUAUUACUUUGCGUCUUGUAAUUUUAUUAUAAAUUAAUUAUAUAUUGUUCUUAGUAGUGAUGAGCAAAUUCAGAGAUCUAAAAAUUUGAGCUCAUUUUAUUUUUAGUAUAACGGACUCACUAUAUUUUUGAGAUAUUUUCUUGGUUUUUCUCAAUAAUUCCACAAAAACAAGCGAAUAUUCUUUUGAUAAAUACAAAUAUUGUUUUUUAUAAAACAAUAAAAAUGUUUUAAUAGCACAAAAUUAUAUAGCAUUGUUAAUGCUUCUAACUAAAAUUAAGGGGAUUUUGUGAAAAUAGUUUUUUAGUUUUGAAUUUGAAAUUUUGGUCCAAUUUUUUUUUGUUUUCACAACUUUGGACCAAUGCCUUUUUGUUGUAAUACAUUAUUACCUUUGACCCCAAAAUGGAAAAAAAAAAAAAAAAACUGAUCCAUUAAGUUAACAAAACAAAAAAAAAAAAAAAAAAAAAAAAAAAAAAAAAAAAAAAAAAAAAAAGGAGAAAAUUUAGAAAUUGGUCGAUUCCAUUGGCCACGGACCACGAUUCAACGAGCACCGAAAAAGCUCUGUGAUUUCAAUAUUGCCCUUGUCAUGUUUAAUUCGGUGCUCGUAUUCUUUCGUAAUAGUUGUGGGUACUUCUGUCAUUUCAAGUUGACCGACCAUGUAGUUGGGGAUACGAAGUGCAUAAGAAUAAAAAAAAUUUAAAAAUUGGGUUUAAUUAAAUAAAUGUUAAUAUUAAUGAGCCACAUAAUCAUCCUAUACACAGAAACUUUAAUAAACUAUAAAGUGCCUACGUGCAUACUACUACUGCUAACACGUGAGUGAAUGAAUGAAUGAAUGAAUGAAUGAAUGGCCCAUUCCGCGCCCUCUCCAAACACUCUCCCUCCCCGCCACUCCCUCUCUCCCUCCUCCGCCAUGCCCACCACCUGUUCGACCAAACUCCCACGAGAACCCCUCCCUCCUACAACUCCCUCAUCCGCGCCUAUGUCCAAUCCCAUCUCCCCCACCACGCCAUGCGCCUUUUCGCCCACAUGGUCUCCUCAGGACUUCGCCCCGACCACUUCACCUUCCCCUUCGCCCUCAAGGCGUGCGGCGACCUCCCGCUCCCCAAGCUGGGCGCUGCGGUCCACCGCACGGUUUUGGCGUCCGGGUUCGGCUCGGACGCCUACGUUCGGAACGCUUUGAUCGCCAUGUACAUGAAUUGUCGGGACAAGGACGCCGCCGCCAAGGUGUUCGAUGAAAUGGCUAACCGGAGCGUCGUGUCGUGGAACACCAUGAUCUCGGGGUGUUUUCGGAACGGGUGCGCGGACGAGGCGUUGGCGGUGUUCGAUCGGAUGGUGGUGGGCGGUGGCGUCGAGAUCGAUCGCGCCACGGUGGUGUCGGUGUUGCCGGCGUGUGCUCACCUGAGGGAUUUGGGUAGAGGGCGGAGGGUGAAUAAGUUGGUUGAUGAGCUUGGUUUGGGGGCUUACGUUCCGGUGAGGAAUUCUUUGAUUGACAUGUAUGCAAAGUGCGGGGAUUUGCGAGAGGCGCGGAGGGUGUUCGAGGAUGGAAAGUUUGAGAGGGAUGUUGUUUCGUGGACGGCGAUGAUAGGUGGAUACGUUCAUAACGGAUCUCCGAAUGAAGCUUUAGCUCUCUCUUACCGUAUGCUGCAAUUGGGUGUGAGACCAAAUGCGGUGACGAUGGCGUCUCUGCUCUCGGCUUGUACUUCCUUGGCUUCUAUUUUUCACGGCAAGUGCAUUCACGCGCUAUUGAUUAGGCUGAGGCUCGAGUCGGACAUUAUUGUGGAGACCGCGCUUAUCGACAUGUACGCGAAAUCCGAUAACGUGGAAUUGGGUCUUAAGGUGUUUGAUAAGGGCUCGAGAAGAACUGCAACAUGGAAUGCUAUUAUAUCGGGGAAUGCUCGAAAUGGGGAACCAAUAAGUGCUAUAAGACACUUCAAGCUAAUGCUGGAAGAAGCUGUGAGGCCGGAUUUAGCUACAAUUGCAAGCCUCCUCCCGGCCUAUGCAGAGGCCGCAGAUUUGCAACGAGCGGGAAAUAUACAUUGCUGCUUAUUAAAAACAGGUUUUCUUCAAAGUAUGGAGGCAACCACCGGUUUAAUCGAUAUCUAUGCCAAGGCUGGGAACUUGGACGCAGCGUGGGUGCUCUUCCAUGGAUUAAGAGUAAAGGAUUUUGUUGCGUGGAGUGCUAUCAUCGCCGGAUAUGGGAUGCAUGGGCAUGCCAGGGUGGCUCUUUUGCUUUUAAAUAGGAUGGUCGAGUCGGGCAUCGAACCUAAUGAAGUGACGUUCACUUCUCUGUUGUAUUCUUGUAGCCACGCGGGUUUGAUCGACGAGGGUGUCCGACUGUUUGAUAGAAUGAUCAAAGUGCACCGCUUGAAACCCAACGUCGAUCAUUAUGCCUGUGUCGUUGAUCUUCUAGGCCGAGCGGGGCGGCUCGAGGAAGCUUACGGGCUUAUCAGAGAGAUGCCAUUCGAGCCCAAUUAUGCGGUAUGGGGCGCUCUACUUGGCGGCUGCGUGACGUAUGCAAAUGUGGAAUUGGGAGAGUUGGCCGCAAAGCAUUUGUUUGAGAUCGAGCCUGAGAAUACCGGGAAUUACGUGCUGUUGGGGAACAUAUAUGCGGCACUAGGCAGGUGGCAAGAUGUUGCGACUGUUAGGAAAAUGAUGGUUGGGAGAGGCUUAGUUAAAGAUGCAGGAUGCAGCUUAAUUGAAGCUAGCGGUGCAUGACCCAUAAGAGAAAUGGAGAAACGAGGAUAGUGCAUAGUUGCAGUUUGUAAUUAUUCUUUCCGUUAAGUUGUACUUGUCCUGGAGGAAGAAAGAGUUGAGAUUGCGGUGAAAAAUAUCGAAUGUAUUUUCGCUUCACUGUUUUCUUAGCAGUUGGUGUAUUGUGCACAUUUAGACAAUGGAGCAACUGAGAACUGAAGCAAGAUACAUGUAUUAUCAAACCAAAUGAUAUUUACAGUGUUCUGCUUAUUUUUCUUCAAUCAUGCAUAUUCACAUCUAUCACCAAAACCAAGCCACCACUCACACCAGUUUUUCAAAUUUUUGAUAACAAAGGAAAAGGAAAGCGCACAAAUCACAUGGAUUUAGUUGAUUUUAAUUCCUUCCAUCGGAAGGCGAUCUAGCUCCUUGGGCCUUCUGUAGUACUUCAGCAAGAGAGACCAACAAACAACACUUACUGACGAGGCUGCCAUCGCAGCACCGGCGACCCAUGGCGGCAGACGGAGUCUCGUAGAUGGGAACAGAGCUCCAGCAGCAAUAGGUAUUCCAAUAAUGUUGUAUCCAAGAGCCCAUACAUAAUUCAUUCGGAUUCGGGAGAAAGUCUUUCUCGAGAGGUCGAUCGCCGUUAUCACGUCCUCUAGAUUACUCUUCAUGAGGACAAUGUCAGCUGCAAGAAAGAUCUAAUAUACUUUGUGCAAUUCUCAUAACUAUAAAAUUAUUAAAUUAAGUAGCUUAAAUUUUUAAAGUCAAAUUAAGUAUCGCCAACUGGCUCAAAUUAAAUAAAUUAAAAGGUUGGUUAGUAAAAUCAACAUUUGAAAAGUUCGAUAGCCAACUAAAAAUAGUCCAUUAUAUAUUCAGAUAAAUUUUGUAUAUUUUGAUCAAAUAUAUAUCUAUAAUGCUGGGGUUCAUUUAGAAUAUUUAAUUGUUGUUACACUAACAAACAAUAGCAUAUGAGACAUGCUUAUCUGCUCAUUUCCGUGCAUCAUCUACAGGGAGCGAGAGAGUAAACUAAGGGCUAGCUCGUUUAGUAUUAAGACCUAUCUAAUAAUAAUAACGAAAAUAGAGUUGGAGUGACAUUGAUCAUAUUGAAGUAUACUUCUACGUUUUUUAUUGACACCGCAGAAAAUAUAUAUAUCGUAAUCAUUUAAUUACGAUAUACAAAAUAGUGAAAUUACGUAACGCAAUCUCCCCAUAAUUUCAAAUAUAGCCUAAGCGACGGACGGGGUGCAGCAGUGGACUAGGUUCCGUGGAAAUUAACCUCAUAGUGACCUCACGUGAUGUUUAGUUUAAUUAUUGUUUUGUUCAAAUGGAGUUUAAAAUUUGAAUGAUGAGGAAAAUGUCAAAGGAUUUUAGUCAGCGCGUUGCAAGUGGCGGGCUCACAAAAAAUAUCCGUGGGCUCGUCGUCCUUCUUUAAUGGGCCCUUUGAAUUUUGGCAUGGAAGGAUUUGGAUCUCAAUAUAACACGGCAUUUAUUAAUUCACGAGCAACAAAAAGAGAAAAAAAAAAGAAAAAGAAAAAGAAGGGGACGUUAUAUAGACUUUUUGUUCGUAGGACUAGUCCCUUUGCAGAGGACUUUUGGUCCUGUGAAUCAGGCGCCGUUAAUCGUGCACCAUAGACUGAAAUCGAUGGUGCGAUCUGCGUCGACACAAGUGCAUGCACAUAUAGAUAUCUUGGAUAACAAUGGAGCAACUGAGAAAUGCAGCAAGAUAUUUAUGUUUAUCAAGCCAAAUGGUAUUUACAGUGUUCUGCUUAUUUUUAUUCAAUCAUGCACAGAAACUAAGCCACCACUCGCACCUCUUUUUCAAGUUUUUGAUAACAAAAGGAAAGGAAAGCACACUCAACAUUUUUUUUGUCCCCUGAACAACUUUACCUUAUUCUUACUAUAUUGCAUGUUCACAUCUAUUUAGUUGAUUAUAAUUUGUUCCAUCCGAAGGCGAUCUAGCUCCUUGGGCCUUCUGUAGUACUUCAGCAAGAGAGACCAACACACAACACUUACUGACGAGGCUGCCAUCGCAGCACCGGCGACCCACGGCGGCAGACGGACUCUGGUAGACGGGAACAGAGCUCCAGCAGCAACAGGCAUUCCAAUAAUGUUGUAUCCAAGAGCCCAUACAUAGUUCAUUCGGAUUCGGGAGAAAGUCUUUCUCGAGAGGUCGAUCGCCGUUAUCACGUCCUCCAGAUUACUCUUCAUGAGGACAAUGUCAGCUGCUUCUAUGGCGAUAUCGGUGCCUGCACCUAUCGCGAUUCCAACAUCGGCAGAUACGAGCGCAGGUGAGUCAUUGAUUCCAUCACCAACCAUUGCCACAGUUUUGCCACUCAUCUGCAAAUAAAAUCAAAUACACUAACAUUAUCAUACACAGAAAUAUGUCAAACAGAAGAUAUUGCAGUGAAAAAUCCAUAUGCGAUUGCUCUAUCUCCCAAUGUUCUCAGAAUAACAAAAACAAUGAAACAGUACAUUUGGUAAUGGGUAUUCAAUAUUUACUAGAAAUUUGAAUCAUCUGAGAAGCGUAUAAGGUGUUUCUGGGUUUUUGUGAACUUUUGAUCAGCUUUGACGCAUUGGAUAAUAAUUUGAUGACUUGUAUGGCGCAACAAAAUAUUCAUUAAUUAUUCACAUACCCUCAAAAAAUUGGAGAAGUUCCACAGUAAUAAGAAGUUGAUGGAAUGAAAAAAGAGAAAAGAAGGAAAAAUAGAAGGUUGACUAACAGAAAGUGUUUUAUGCACAUUAGUCCCUAAACUCUAUCAAUAUUGUGUUUGAACCCUUCAAAACUCAAUAAUUUGUACAGUGGUACUCCCUUAAUAAAAAAUGUAGCACAUGCAACUGUAAUGAAAAGCUCAGGCUAUUUACAUACCUGUAGUUCUUUUACUUUAUCUGCUUUAUUUUCUGGUUUUGCUUCUGCAACAACACUGUCUAUACCAACCUCCUCAGCAAUGGCUUUUGCGGUGCCCAAGUUAUCCCCUGUUACCAUAAUGCACUCCACCUUCAUGGACGUAAGAAGAGAUAUUACUUCUCGGGCGUUGGUCUUUAGUGGAUCUGAUACUGCUAAUACUCCAACGACUUCUCCGUCCAAUAAGACAACUAUUCCUGUUUGUGCUUUUUCUUCUGCUUCCAUGAGGAACUCAGAGGCUUCAGUAGGGAUAGGGAUACCUAAUCUCGACAUCCAGCUCUUGCUGCCCACAAUAACUUCUUUGUCUCUAACCGUGGAUUUGACUCCGUAGCCAGUUACGGACUCGAAGUCUCGCGCUUCAGGCCAUACAUGUUCUUCUCCUAAAAUGUUUUUAGCAUACUGAAUGAUAGCCUUCGCCAAUGGAUGCUCACUGUUCACCUGUGAAGGAAGAAUUACAUAAUCUAUCAUGACAAGAAAAGAAAUACCUCAGUUGGAUUUUUUUUUAUUUUUUUGGUAGUCAUCAGAAUAUUUCUCUCUAAUUGAUAAAAUUUGUCCAUACAUAAUGGCACACUUUCAUAACGCUAGAAACAGUAGAAAUCGAGGAAUGAGUUUAACCUCAGCAGAUCCCACAUAUUCAAAGAAUUCCCUUGUGUUCAUUUUGUUCAGAAUCUUUCUGUCAACAAGGAUGGGCUUUCCAGUGGUUAGCGUCCCCGUUUUGUCAAACACAAUGCAAUUCACCUGCAAAAGGUGCAGUUUAGUUUCUUCUGGUGAUUGGAACUGCUACAAAAAAGGAAACACAAAAUUAUGCGCACUUCAUAGUUUCAUUAAUUCUGUCCAGUAUUGAAGCUCUUACAGUUGAACAGUUAGCAAGUAAAAGAGUUAUUGUUUAUUCAACACUACGAAGUAGAGUUCAAAAGGAGAAUGUACAGAAAAUUGUCACGCUGUCUCAAACCUUGUGUGCGCCCUCGAGUGCGUGGCCUCCUUUAAUCAGCACACCUUGAGAAGCACCGACUCCAGUACCAACCAUAACAGCAGUUGGAGUUGCUAGACCAAGGGCACAGGGACAAGCUAUCACCAUAACAGAUAUCCCAAAUUGAAGUGCGAGCUGAAAGCUAUCCGUGGAAGAUGGUAUCCAUGAUUUUGGAUAACUACGGAAUUUUCCAGCUAAAAACCAUGCAAGCCAAGUGAGUGAGGCAAGUAUAAUAACCUGCAAAUACAAACACGACUCAGUUUACUGUAUUUGCAAGUAAUUAACCAUAAUCAAAACCAGAUUUUCCUUAAAUAAUUAAUUAAUUGAUCACUAGGAACUAUAAGGUACAAAUUUAUGUUCUCAUGACAGGCAAUUCAUUAAUUCCUCAAAGUAUCAGCCAAAAUCAAAAUUAUUAGUUAGGUAUAGUUAUGCGAACGCGAACAAGACGGAAAGAACAGAGACAACAAAAAUCAUGGCACCAAGUCAUGAAAGAUUAGUGCACCAAAAUCAAGGAAUAAACAGAUGAAAUUCAAAUCUUUUUAUGAAAAAUACUUUCAAAAGCCACAAACUUGUGAAUAAACAGAUGAAGUCAUGAAAGAUUAGUGCACCAAAAUCAAGGAAUAAACAGAUGAAAUUCAAAUCUUUUUAUGAAAAAUACUUUCAAAAGCCACAAACUUGUGAAUACUUAUCAAUAGUCGGACCACUUUGGAUCAUUUGAUUCUGGAAGUCACGACUAAAGAAGAUAUUAUAUGUCAUAGGACAGUUAUCUCCUAUUCUCACUUAUUGAGGGAUUCUCACUCUUUUCCGGUAAGUUGCAUUGUUGUUUUAGUCGGUUAAAGAACUCUAUGGUGAAAGAUGAGUUGUUUUAAUAGGUUAAAGAACUCUAUGGUGAAAGAUGAGUUGUUUUAAUAAGUUAAAGAACUCUACGAUGAAAGAUAGUUAUACAGAGAGCGAAACUAAAUAUCAGGGGAAAACGACAAAAAAAGAAGGGGAAAUUACCAAGGGAACAAAGUACCCAGAAAUCCUAUCAGCGAGCUUCUGCACAGGAGCUUUUGCCAUUUGAGCUGAUUCAACAAGCCGCACAAUCUGCGACAGCGCACUUUCUGAACCAACGCGUGUUACCCUUACAUGCAGCACGCCAUUCUCAUUGACUGUUCCACCUAUUACAUCAUCACCUUUUCUCUUUGCAACAGGCCGAGAUUCACCAGUUAUCAUGCUCUCAUUAACAUAGCUUUGACCCCAAAUAACAGUACCAUCAGAAGCAACCUUCCCACCAGGCACUACUUUUAUCACAUCAUUCUUUUGUAUCAGCCGACUAUCUAUUUCCCUUUCAUUAACGACUUGUCCUUCACCAUCAUAUGCUAAGAGUGUCGCAGUCUCAGGAGCCAGGUCCAUAAGCUUGGCGAUGGCCUCCGAUGUUUUCCCUUUAGCCAGGAUCUCGAGAUACUUACCCAAUAGGAUAAAUGAUAUCAGCAUGGAACUGGUCUCGAAGAAAUCUGUACCCUUAAAAUUUGGUGAGAUUGCAGCUCUUACUAUCGAGUAAAGUGAGUAGAAGUAUGCUGUGUUGGUUCCUAAAGCAAUCAAUACAUCCAUAUUUGCAGAACCAUGUCGCAAUGCUUUGUACGAACCAGUAUAAAAUCUUCGACCGAUAACAAAUUGAACCGGAGUGGAUAAAAUCCAUCUCAAAAGCUCUCCAACAGUUAACAUGUGGACUAUCUUCUUAUCUAGCACAUUCUUAAUUCCCGGGAUGUACAUAAACACCAUGGAAAUGAGAAACACUGGAAUUGUGAAUACUAGACUCCAAAGAAAGGAGUGAUAGUACUGCUUAAUCUCCUCAUUUCUCAGCAUUUCCCUUCCCCCUGCUUCCGGAUAGAUAGAUGCCCUGAACCCUGCCGAUUCAACGACUUCGAUAAAAUUCCUAGGACCUGCCUGAUCAGAAUUGUAUGAUAUAGUUACUUUAUGAAGAAUUGGGUCGAUGUUUGUAUCAUCUACUCCAGGCAGAGAUUGCAGGGAAUCCUUAAUCAUCAAAAUAGACCUUUCAUCAAGUGCACCGUCGAUUUUGAGAUCUAUCCUAUUCCUAUCUUCCCCUGUCGUAAUCACUGUCGCGCCAUAACCAAUUCCUUCGACUGCUUCCACCAGUCGGUUGAUUUUGACAAGUUUGGAAUCAAAAUGGAUUUCGGCUUCUUCAGUAGCCAAGGCAACUGCAGCUUUCUGCACACCAGGAACUGCUCGCAAAGCUGACUCGACAGCACUCGAGCAAGAAGAACAUGUCAUUCCCUUUAUCUGCAGCCUACAUACAAGUUUAAUAUCCUCUUCUAUCAAUGUAGCUUCAAAUCCUGCAUCUUCAAUAGUUUCUCUGAUUUCCUCCACCUGCAAAACAUAGGCGGUUAUGUGAUCGACUAAAUUUUAACACAUAUUAUGAAAGUUGGAAAUGGCUAGAAAAUUGUUGCGCAAAGCAAUCUAUCAUGAAACUGUAAUUGUACCGAAUAAUUCAUAACUGAACUUACGCCUUACGGACUAAUUUAUAUGGCCAAUAUGGAAUAAGCCAUAAACCAAAGCAACUAUCGCAUAGAAAGAUUUGUUCUUUUUCUUAAGUCUUCCUUGAAAAUUUUAUUUUAAAUUGCUUUUUCAAAAAAAAAAAAAAAGAAUCCUGAUAAUUCGGAAGCUUUCGACACAGGGCUUCUUGGUUUCUUAUCUAAAAACCUUAGAUUCGGUAGGUUCUUUUUACAUGCUUUCUCACUGUAUGUUUUUAUUUUUAAACUGUAAAUGGUGUCCUUGCUGUAACUUUUAUCUUUUUUUACAAUGAAAUGGUAAGGUUCAACCCUGUAACUUCAAAAAGUACAUAUAGAUUAUAAGAAACACUUUAAUAAAUAGAUAUGUAUCUCCUACGAAAAGGACAAAAGCCGUUUCGCGUGAGUAUUAAUUGCAGUAGCAAUCAUAGCUAUCAUGCACACAGCAAUAAACCAAAAAAUUGACGUCCUUAAAUAUAGAAAACAAUCGUUUUAAGCCAAUCCAAAAAGGUUUUAAUCUAUAUGAUAAAUGACCUCCUUAGGGUUGUGUCGGAUUGGAAUUUGGAAAGAACGGGAACAAACCAGGUGAUAACCGGACGAAGCCAAAUCAAAUUUGUACUGGAGAUUCGAAAAAUGCGAAUCUAAGAUCUAAUAUCAGGUAGAAUUUAGGGGGGUAACUAGUUAGAAACGUUGGGGGAAACAGGAAACUCACCGAGACGAAGGCGGGGUAGAAGAUGACCUGGGCGCGGUUGUUGAGGACGUCGACGGCGGCGUCGUGGAUCCCCGGGAGGCGCUUCACGGCCUUCUCCACCGACCCGGCGCACGCGGCGCAGGUCACCCCCGUCACCGAGAACACCGCCACCGCCCUCCUCUUCUUCUCCCCCUCCGCAUCCGGCGCCGGCGCCUCCACGUCUCCUCCGCCGCCGCAUAAAUCCGCCGCCGCCGAUGACGAGGACGACGACGAGGGCUCCUUAGGGUAUUUGGGCAUGGAAGGGUACCGGGGCCUCGGCGAGAGGAGGCGACUCGUGGAGAAGGAGGCGCCGUCGCCAUUGAUGCACGAGAGGAGAAGCGCUCUACUCGCCAUUUCCCCUCUCUCUUCUCUCUCUCUCUCUUUCUCUCUAAGACCUUCUCUUUGCUUUUUUCGCACGCUAAAUUCAAAUUCUCUUGCCUCCUAAACACAGCAACGUGAUUGAGUUUGAAUCGGAGUCUAUAUAUAUUAUAUCUAGUAAUGGAACGUCUUAGUGGGCUCCUGCACCUGGACACCCGUUAUGCUAGAUGCAUGAAUACAUGAUGCACCGCGUUAAUAGCCUGCUUGGUUUAGAUCAUCUCCAAACCCAACCAAACACCUAAUUUACAGCUCACAUAAUCAGAUAGGAUUUUAAAUACAUCGGUUAAAAACGUACAAAAUUUUUAUGAACUACGAACUAUUUUAAAAUUUAAGUUUUACUAUCUAUCCUUUUAGUUUAUUUCAUUUAAGUUAGUCAGCAGUAUUUUGAUAUUAAAAUUUGAACGUGUUGUUUAUAUUUAUAGGUUUAGUUAGCAUACUUCAUAUAAUUUUCAUAAUUAUAAAAUUGUUAAAAUAAGUAGCUUAUACUUUUAAAGUCGAUAUCGCCGAGUGACUCAAAUCAAAUAAAUUGUAUAGCCAACUAAAAUUAGUCUAUUGUUCAUAAGUUUUGUAUGUUUUUAUCAAAUAUCUAUAAUGCUAAGGUUCUUUUAGAAUUGUUGUUACACUAACCGAUCGUCUCUAAAGAAAGUGGCAAAGGGCUUGGUGGUUGGUAUCCGAGACCCAAAUUCGAAUUCUAGUUGAUUCACAUUUCCAGCUAAGUUUAUUUCUAAAUGAAAUAAACAAAGCGGGUAGCGUGCUACCUAUCUCUCUCAAAAAAAAAAAAAAAAAAACAAAAAAACAA